This 45396-nucleotide long non-coding RNA is filed under the name Medicago truncatula (barrel medic). RNAcentral describes it as "long non-coding RNA (MTRU_LNC008165)". Lineage: Eukaryota; Viridiplantae; Streptophyta; Magnoliopsida; Fabales; Fabaceae. The record is from RNAcentral.
AACUUCUACAACAAUCUUCAAGGUAAAAAGGGUUUGCUUCAAAGUGACCAAGAAUUAUUCUCAACACCGGGUGCAGAUACCAUUAGCAUUGUCAACAGCUUUGCAAAUAGCCAAAAUGUUUUCUUUCAGAACUUUAUAAAUUCAAUGAUUAAAAUGGGUAAUAUUGAUGUGCUUACCGGAAAGAAAGGAGAAAUUAGAAAACAAUGCAAUUUUAUUAACAAGAAAUCUUCUGAAUUGGAUCUUGGCAUUGUGGCCUCUGCAGAAUCAAUGGAAGGGGAUAUGGUUAGUUCAAUCUAAAUGAAUGUGGGUUACUUUAGAUGAAAUGUGGUGAUUGGAAUUCACUAAUAAAGAGAAGUGCUGGCUAAGCACAUUUGUGUCAUGAGGUAUACUGUAUUUUACGUGUUUUAUGUGUGUAAGAUAACCUUCUUUCAAUGUAAUUUUCAUUAUAAAAUCCUUUCUUUCUGUCACAAGCUCUUUCUGUGUUUUUUUUAACAACAAAGAGAAAAUUAUUAUAACAAAGAUGAAUAAGUACAACUACAAGUAGUACUAAAUGAAAAUUUAGAAAUGAAGUACAAAAUAUACUUCACUCUUAUAUUUUGAUAAAACCACUUAUGUACUUAAAUAUGAACUACAAUUAUUGAAAGUUGAAUUUUGAUGCCUAAAACUAAUUCUUGAUUUUUUUUUGACAAGAAAAAUAAUUCUUGAUUAUUGAAACAUUCAUUAGGUAUUAAGCAUUUUCAAUACAUUAUAACUACACCGCCAAAAUAAAAUACAUUAUGAAUGUUCAUAAGAUCCGUGCGGCGCACAGGUCAGCGAUCUAAUAGUAACUUCUAAAAACCAACAAGUUGAGAAGCAAAAUCAAAAUACCCUAAUCCAUAAAAUGAAAAUUUCACGAAGGUAGUGACAAACCUGAUAUUAAAUAACCUUGAUGGAAAAAAAAAAAUUGUUAUACACAACUAAUAGAUUAUUUAGGGCUAGCUGGUUAAAAUAGUAUAGGGAGGGGGUGAAAUAUACACAACUAAUAUAAUUGUACUUGUCUUAAGAGUCUAUUUAGACCCUCUAUUUCUUGCUACCCGGUAAUUGAGUCUAGUUAAUACAAAUGUUUAAUAUUACGAUAAAUUAACAAAAGAGUAAAGAACAAUGAAUCAAUGCGGUAUUAGUACCAAUCCUAAACUAAGAAAAUAUAUAAUUUCAAUGAGCCUUAAGACUCAACAAAAAGAAAGAAAGAAAGAAAGAAAAGAACAAAUAGCUACUGUCAAAUUGAGUAUGUGCAUAUUAUUUCAACAACUUCAUUAUCGAUAGAAAGCAAAACUAUAUUUUACAAUAUUUUUGGUAGUACCGUCAAAGAAGCAAUAUCUUUUGAAGUCUAACUUUAUAGAUCAGUCUGCCACCUAUUAUGUUAUCAGUAUAAAAAAGUUGAAAUAGCCUUGUAAUUGACACCAUAUUUUGUCCUCCUUAAUUCUUAGAAGAUUUAACAAAUAUAUUUUUUUUAAUCGGCAAAAAAACAAAAAUUAGCAUAAGAUAGUAUAAUCUACGUUCUAGUUAAAUAUAUAUGCAAUGUAUAAUUGACAAUAAAAUAAUUGAAUUAUGAAUUUUCACCUACGAAAAAUGACAUUUAAUGAUGGAUUUUGUUCGUAGGUACAAAUUUUUUUUCUUCCUUUUCUUUUUCUCUAACUUUUGAGGCCCUUUUAUGUUUGUGGCCCAGUGCCAAGGGCUUUGAUGCACACAGUCAAUCCAAAAAUUGGUGUGGUGCGGUAGUGGAGUGCCUAACAGCCGCUAUAUUUUGGUGGCACAACUGCAAAUACAUUUAAUACUAAAAUACCCCAAAUAUUAAAAUACCUUAAACAUUAUCAAAUGACUAACCUUCAAUGACCAACCUUGCGGAAACCCAAUGCAAAUGAUACUUUCAACCAUGAUAACCUUCAAGUUGGACAUGUGCAUAAUAAAUCAAUAUUGAAAAUAUUAAUGCACCAAAUUUAGUAAUAAUUAUGCAUAUUUCAAAAUUUAUUUUUAUUACUUCAACCAUUUUUCUUAGUAUCUGUGCAUUUUUGUAAAGCACUCGUAUAAAAUAUAAAAAUGGACAGAGGAUUAUUUGUUUAGAGAAGGCACGCCACAUGUAAAAUUGGAAGGAAAACAUUACUUUCAAUUAGAUUUUAUGAUCUAUUCCGGGAAAAAAAGUUUAAGAUGAAAAAGACAACAACUAUUUAUAUUAAAGCAGUUUUAUGACAGUUUACUUUCAAUAUUGUUUUCUAUUUUAAUUUUACUACAACUAAUAAAUAUAAGAGAAUAUUUAAUCGAAUAUACUCUUUACCAUUUUCUUUAACAAUUUUUUCAAGUUUAUCUUCCCAAUUUUAUUACAAUUGCCACAUGAAUCUUCCAACCCAUUGUUAAUAAUUUAAAAUGUUUAUCCAAAAGUGUUCAUAUGAGAUGACGCGUAUUUCUUCUAACUUAACUAAUAUACUGGUUCUAAUUCGAUAUUAGACAUACAACAACGUUAAAACUUUUAAGGAGAGUUUGUUACCAUUUCGUCAAACUUUAAAAUAAUUACUAUUAUAUAAGGUACAAAGUUUUUCCAAUAAAAAUUUCAAAAUAAAAAUCAUACAUGAACUUGUUUGGGAGGCUGCUGAAUCAAAGAGUAAGCCAAGUUGAAUAAAUUAAUAAGUGUGGAAGUGACAAACGAGAAAAGCCAAUGCUAAAAAUAAAAAAUGAGAGGGGGCAGAAAAAUAAAAUAUCUAUCUAUAUAUAGACUAAACACAACUUCGAAAUCACACACAAAUUAUAUAUAAUUUAAUGCAACACGUACCAUUUGUAGAAUAUAACAUCUGUCCAAAUUUUAUACAAUAAUAAUAAGGUCAUGUUGACUUGUGUUUUAAGGAUAUAAGUUAAGAAGUUAAAAAAGGAAUAAAUCAAUAAAUAAACAAGUUAAAAAGAUAAAAUUUAAAGCAUUUAAAAUUUUAUUUUUAUUUUUAGUUUCUUAACUUGUGCUUUUAGAGCACAAGUUAAUAUUCCCCUAUAAUAAUAGGAGUUAGUAAUAACAACUCCACAAAGAUUCUGUCAAACAAAACAACAGGGUAGUUAACAACGUAAAUGCCGGGAAAAUUAAGACUAUAGAACUAAUCCUGGUCGAGACACGUGAGCCCAUGUUCGGUUCAGCAAGACAUUUGACUAUUUUAUUUGACAAUAGUCAUGUGUUUUUGUUAGAGGACAAUAUAGUCAUAAUAAUACAUCAUUUUAAGGAGAUAUUGAUUUAUAUACUAAAACUUAUUUUCAUAUGUGUUCAAUUAAGUCAUGUAAAUAUUUUAAAAACUGAGCUAAAAAGAUGGCAUCAUGAUUUGAUUUGUAUAAAUGUACAUGUGUAAAAUAGAAUUACUAGGUUCUGUUUGGUUUGCAAAACAGUAAGUACUAAACAUAAUUGUACAAGACAGAACAACACAACACAAGACAGAACAAUAUAAGAAAAAUUUUUAUGGCAUUGAAUAAUUUUUCGUUUUAUACGAUUGUUAGCGGACGAAAUACUAUUUUGGAAUUUUAGACAACUUGUGCGUGGGACAAAAAGUUGUGAUGUGGUUUGGUGAGGAACAAAAAUAUGAUUUUUUGUCCUGUCCCUUGCCUCCAGUUUGUCCUGUAACUGAACAGUUUACAAAUCAAACAUUGGACAAUUGGAGUUGUUUUGUCCUGUCCUUCAUUUUUUAGCAAAUCAAACACACCCUCAAUGUAUAAAAGUUUCAAGUUAUUGAAGCGUACACAUAUAAAACUAUAUAUUGUAUAAUUAUUUUAAUAAUAUUAAUAAUGAUAAUAAAAAAAAUAGUUUUUUCUUUUCUACUUUUUUUAUUUGUGUGUGUGAAUGGAUUUUCGGUUGUUAUUACAUGACAUUGUAAUCGAUAUAUAGGGUUAAUGGUGUUUUACCCCCUGUAAUAUAGGUUAUUUUUUGUUUUUCCCCUGUAAAAUAUUUUUUUUUAUUUACCCCCUGUAAAAUAUUUUUUUUUUUAAAUACCCCCUAAUAGGUCAUAAAAAAACGACUUUAUUUUUUUUCCAGAAUUUUUUCGCUUUUUUAUGACCUAUUAAGGGGGUAUUCCAAAAAAUAUAUAUUUUACAGGGGGUAAAUCAAAAAAAAUAUUUUACAGAAGGAAAAACUAAAAAUGACCUAUAUUACAGAGGGGUAAAACACCAUUAACCCUAGAUAUGUACCUUCUUAUUGUAAAUAAGGCAAGACCGUUUUAAUGCGUAAAACUGAAUUUAAAAUUUAAAUCACCCACUCUGAAUUAUUUUAAAGACCUUUAAUCAAUGAUAUGAGAUAAACUCCGAAACUAUAUGUGAAAAUGCUAAAACAGGGAAAUAGAGGAUAACCAUGUGUAGACUAAAUAACUUAAAUUUAGAGUGUGACUACACAAACAUUGACCUCGGUGUAAAUACAAUCUAAGCAAUAGUUAUUGGAUUUUACGGGGUCCACACAAUACAACAUCAUUGACCAAAACACCAAUACUCCUUUGUUUUAGUUUUGUACACUUCAUCAUCAAGAAAUAAAGUGUGAUGGCGGUUGAGAUACGACCGUCAGAGUGGUGAUCGAUGGUGAUCAGAGUGGUGAUCGCAAUGAUGAAUAGAAUAGUAAUCUGAUGAUAGUUGGAAUGGUGACAGUGGUAGUCAAAGUGAUAGUCAAUGGUGAUCAGACUUGUAAUUUGAAGUUGAUUAAACGGUAGUUGGUGGCGGUUAGAGUGGUAAUCAUAAUGGUUAAUCAUGUGGUAGUGAAAUUGGAGAUUGAGAGUGGUUGAAGUGGUGGUCGGAAGUGCUCGAAGUGAUGGUUGGUGGUGAUCAAACUGGUGUUUGGCAGUGAUUAGAGUAGUUGUCGGAAACCAUUAGCGGUCACCCAUGUUAGACUCCAAAUAAAAAUGAAAAUUAUAACAUUUAUUUUUAUUUUUAUUAUUUUGAUAUUUAAGUGAAAUUAGGACUGGCCCUGGCCAAUUGCAACCAACCCUGCAACCAACCCGGCACAUGGCCUCACACUUAGAGGAGUCUCAAAAUGUUUAGAAAAAAAAAAUGUACCUACGGAUAAAAUCCGUCACUAAAUGUCAUUUUUUUCGUAGCUAAAAGUUUGGAAGACAACAAUUUUGCUGUGAAUUAUGAAUUGUACAUAAGUAAAGGUCUAUUUAUCCGUAGGUAAAAGUUUGGAAGACAACAAUUUUCCUGUCAAUUUUAAAUUGCCAUAAGUAAAUGUCUAUUUAUCUGUAGGUAAAAGUCAUGUUUGAACUAUUCCUUAUAUAUUUAAUAAUAAUUUGAUUGUUUAUCACCAUCAAUAGUGUUGGAUUUUUUUUCAAUUCUUAUAAAAUAAAAAUUGUCAAGUUUAUGACCGGACCUUCGAAUUGUCGGAACAGUCCUAAGUGAAAAUAUUUUCAAAUAAAGUAAGAAAUUAUUUUAACAUCAUUUUACACGAACGUGUUUGUUUUUCAAUUUAACUUUUAAAAUAAAAACUUACGACCAUCAUGAAUGGUCCCUAAUGUUUUACAAUGGAGAGAUACAAAAACGUUUUGUUAUCACCGAAGAGUUAAACUCUGUUUGUAAAAAAAACAAAAAACUCUUUUUGUCAAAGCCAAUUUUCGAAUUUAACAAAUACUUUAUAAAUUUAUAUGACCAAAAUAGACUUGUCUGUUAAUUAGUUUUUUUUAACGAGCCAAAGUCAUUUUUUACUAGGUUACAAAGUUGUUUGAUACACUUCUUCAAGUAGCAUUUGAACUUAUAAUUAAAAAGGUAAUUGUUUCAUAAAACCAUAUUUUUAUAUCAUUUGAUAUUUAUUUAGUUUAACCGUUAACUUUACCGUAUGAUAUAUGAUAUGUAUAAAUUCAAUCUACUACAUUAUUAGCCAUAUGCUAAUUCGCUAUCUGACUACCAAGCAUUUUUUUUUUUUAUCACUUUAUAGAUAAUUUGAAUGGAUAUUUAAAGUUACUUUGUUCAAUUAAUUUCUUUCGACUGCAACACUAUACAUAUACAACAGUAUAUGCUUUGAAAUCCUAAUCACUAAAGUCAUAAAAGAAAAAGUAGAUAAAUUUAGAGGGUUUGAAUUCAGAGUACUAUAAUAAUUAAGUGACGACAAUUUUCACUGGCCAGUAACACACAUCACCUUAAAUUGGUAUAUAUAAUAAUGCGAUUUAUAUAUUAUAUUUUUGAAGACUUGACAAAGUUUUCAGAUCAGAAAAAUAAUUACUAAAUUUACAAGUGUAUCUUAAAUAUUGAUGUAUAUUCUUAUGAAAUGUCACUCAUGGCAACCACAAGCCACCACCUAUAGUCAUGUUAUGGCCUAUAAAUAAAGGCACAUUUUCUUCCUAGCAAAGCACAUCAACUUCAAACACAUAGCUCUAAAAAUGAAUUCCCUUAGUCUCAUAGCAACAGCUCUAUGCUGUGUAGUUGUUGUGUUUGGAGGACUACCCUUCUCUUCAAAUGCACAGCUUAGUCCAGACUUUUACGCCAAAACAUGUCCCCAAUUGCAAUCUAUUGUGUUUCAAAUCUUAGAGAAGGUUUCUAAGACUGAUUCUCGAAUGCCUGCGAGUAUCAUUAGGCUUCACUUUCAUGAUUGUUUCGUUCAAGUAUGUAUACCUAUUAUUAUUCAGUCUUAGAAACCAAGUUAUUGUUUUUCACUUUGUGUUUAUGAUAAUGAAAAAUAAUCAGUAGUUCAUAGAGUUAACAUUUUCUCCUUAAUUUAAGCAAAAUGACUUAAUAUGACGAUUUAUGAUUGAAUCAGGGUUGUGAUGCAUCAGUUUUGUUGAAUAAAACUUCUACUAUUGCGAGUGAACAAGAUGCUGGUCCAAAUAUAAACUCCUUAAGAAGAUUGGAUGUUAUCAAUCAGAUUAAAACUGAGGUGGAAAAAGUUUGUCCUAAUAAAGUUUCUUGUGCUGAUAUUCUCACACUUGCAGCUGGAGUAUCUUCAGUUCUGGUAAAUAUGUUAAAACCCAAUUAUGUUUUAGUAAUUUUACAUAAUAUCAUAAUAACAUAAUAAUGGUUGAAUCAACUUCUUUUAUUUAUUUAUUUAUUGUAUUCACAGAGUGGGGGUCCAGGUUGGAUCGUUCCAUUGGGAAGAAGGGAUAGUCUAACAGCAAAUCAAUCCCUUGCCAAUAGAAAUCUUCCAGGUCCCAGCUCCAGUCUAGAUCAACUUAAAUCUUCCUUUGCUGCUCAAGGACUCAACACGGUUGAUCUAGUAGCACUCUCAGGUAUGCAAAUACAUGCACCAUUUCCUAAAUAAUAAUAAUAAUAUAAUUUUCUAUCAAACCAUGAUAUUUAGAUAAGAUGAUAUGAGCCUCCUUAAUUUUAAAUUUGAAUUUAAUCAUGUACCAUAGUGAUAUUAAAAUUUAUCGCGACUUUAGAUUUCACAUGACUCGGAUAAAAAAAAAAAAAAAAAAGGACAAACUGCAUCCAUUAACACUCAAAUAAGUAUUUUUAAAAGUAAUUAAAUCUUGAUGAGGAAUUGUUUGAACUAGGAUUCAAACUCGAAUUCUUCCAAAAAAAAUGUGUAUCUUACUAGAUCUUAUUAAUCCCUAGAGCUAUAUAGCACAUGAUGUAGGAGUAUAUGAUUUACUUGAAUGGUUCAAUUUCAGGUGCCCAUACAUUAGGAAGAGCACGUUGUCUUUUCAUACUUGAUCGAUUAUACGACUUCGACAAUACUGGCAAACCUGAUCCAACUCUUGACCCAACAUACUUAAAACAGUUGCAAAAACAAUGUCCUCAAAAUGGACCUGGAAAUAACGUUGUCAAUUUUGAUCCAACAACUCCCGAUAAAUUCGACAAGAACUACUACAACAAUCUUCAAGGUAAAAAGGGUUUGCUUCAAAGUGACCAAGAAUUGUUCUCAACACCGGGUGCAGAUACCAUUAGCAUUGUCAACAACUUUGGAAACAACCAAAAUGUUUUCUUCCAGAACUUUAUAAAUUCAAUGAUUAAAAUGGGUAAUAUUGGCGUGCUUACUGGAAAGAAAGGAGAAAUUAGAAAGCAGUGCAAUUUUGUUAACAAGAAAUCUUCUGAAUUGGAUCUUGCUAGUGUGACCUCAGAAUCAAUGGAGGGGGAUAUGGUUAGUUCAAUCUAAAUGAAUGUGGGUUACUUUAGUUGAAAUGCAUGUGGUGAUUGGAAUUCACUAAUAAAGAAAAGUGCUAGCUAGGCACAUCUGUGCCUUGAUGUGUAUGUUAUGUGCUUUAUGUGUGCAAGAUAAUCUUUUUUUUUUCUAAGUAAUUUUCAUUAUAUUAUAGUAUAUCCUCUCUUUCCGUCACAAGUUAUGUCUUUGUUUUUUUCAACAUUUCCCAUUAUUAGAUGAUCAUCCUCUUGCAUCCAUAGGGUUGAAUUAGGUUCACUUGCAUAAUCAAUUAACACUCGGCCUACAUAACAAUCCAUUACAAACUCAACAUGACAGUACACUUAAUAUAAAUAUCAAGAAUGCAUUGUGGAGAGCAAAAGUGAAUGGAACACAAUCUAUAGCACACAUGAUUCAACAAAAUAACUUAACUUUCCAACAUUACCUAAUAUAUAUAUAAAUUAUUUUGGAACAGACACAUCAUAUAAAUAUGUGUAAAACAACAACACAAGGAAGUUACUCAAAGUUUACUUUUAAACAAGAUUUAAGUAUGCAUUUGUUGAAUUCAUUAUAUUUUACCUUUUAUGUAAAUAUUUACCCAAUUGCAUUAAUAGAAAUCAGUUCCCAAAUUGUUCAGUUAAUUAAGUUCAAAAGCAAUUAUGAAAUCAAAAUGGGAUUGAAUCAACAAAAAACUAAAACUUAACAAUUAAACUAGAAUCAACAAAAACUAAAACUCACAAAAUAUACGAAAAAUGAGUAGAAUAUAACCUAGAUGGGAUUGCAACUAAUCAGCCUUUUCCAAUGGUUCCACUCUAGCUUCAUCGGAAACAUAUACCCAACCCAUUGCGGCUGUCUACGUCAUUACCUGAAAUAGUGUGAGUUGAGUGACUGGUUGGGCUUUUGUGCUUGCUUCCCACACUUGACUUCCUAGUUCAUCAGAUGUUAUCUUUUCCUUGAUCAUGUCAACAAAAGAUUUACAACCUUAGUGAUGAUGUAAAUAACUUCCAAAAACAAGUUUUCUCCAGAAACAUCAAUCAAAGAAAAAGAAUGACUCUGAUCAUCAAGGAAAAGAUCAACAUCUGACGAACUAGGAGAGUCAAGUGUGGGGGAAGCAUGCACGGAAGCACCACCAGUCAAUCAAGUCGCACUAUUUUAGCUAAUGACAAUCAUGAUGGUUUCCAAACUGAAAAAGAAUGAUGAGAAGCAAUGACAUUGGCGAGGAAGAAGAUCGGGCUGAAUGAAAUAGCCUUGUAAUUUUCUCUCUUUUAUAAUACUUGAUUUUGUUUUGUUUGUUUGUAACAAUACAUGCCUUUUAAUAAAGUUUGUCUUCCUAUAUAGAAGACCGGAGUUUUUGCCCAACUAUGGAUGAUAUAUGGUAACAUUUCAGAUUUCAUUUAUAAUGAAUGGCAACACAUACCUCCUUGCAUUGAGUAGGGGUAACAUUUUCUGCUAAAUAUUUAUGCUCAUUAAAGACAAGUUUUCCAUGAUGGACUUUUUCAUCACUACUUGCAUCUCUAUAUGGGCUAAAUGUACUGCUUUCGAUGCUCAAAAAAAUAAAAUAAAAAUUACCGUCUUCAUCCCUAAUUAUAAAACCCUUUUGAAAAAAAAAAUUAUUUUUUUAUAAGACCAUUUUAGUAUUUCCAAAAUACAUUAGUUAAUUCUUUACCAACAUACACUUAUUUAUUUUACAUCUUUUUAUUCAAUCAACAUUAAAUGUUAUGUUGAAAACAUACACCAACUCUCCCUCUUAAAUGAUAAAAUUGUAAAAACAGUAGUAAUUACAAACAAAUUUAGGGCCCUAUAAUUAUGGACAGAGGUAGUUUUAAAUUUGACUUUUGAAUGUGUGUAAAUAUUAUCAAAUUGUCCUUUGUUUAAAUGUAUUAAAUUUGACUUUUUAUAUUUCAAGACAAAGUUAGUAGUAUUAAUUAAAGAUAUAUUAAAGAAAAAUAAUAAAUAAAUCUAAUAAUUUGAAAACGGAUUUAUAUUUAGAGAUAAUUUUUUAGUCAAAUAAGUGCUUCGAUAUAGAAAGGAAGGAAGUAUUACAUAUGUUUCUUUCCAUGGUACCUGGAGACAAACCAUGUAAUGCUCAUCAACUGCCUUCACAAUUUGGUUGCUAGCAAUUACAGUACAUAUUGGUUCCCCAUAAGAGUGUCACAAAACCCAAUUAUUUACCGUUAACUCCCCUAUAUUAUGAGUAAUGAUAUUAUUACUAGUAUUUUGUGAUAACUUUCUUCAUUUCUCUUCUUAUUAUUGGACAAAAGAAAAAGAGACAAAGAUAGAGAGUAUUAAUUAUAGGCCAAUUCUAUGUGCAUAAAUGAGACAUACACAAGUUUUUUUUUUUUAUUCUGUUUGUUGAUAAAUCAAGAGUAUGUACAUGCAUCAAAUUAGUUAUAAGACAUCCUAACUACACUGACACCCCAAACAACGAAAAAUAAUUAGCAAACAUACUCAUAAUAUCACACACACAAGUUUGUCAUUUUCUCACUUAAUGAGGAUGAGCAUAAUGACAAUAAAUAAGAUGAAAAUAAUGACAAUAAUUAAGAGCAUUCUUGUUGGUUUUUUGAAACCAAUUAUACAUUACCAACAACAUGAUGGGAACAAGAAAGAAAUACAUUAUGUUUUCACUCACUUUACACUAACUGUUGGUGAUCCAUGUACAAGGAAUGUAUCUUAAAGUUGGUAAAUUUAUGUAACAUUGCGUAUCCAAUUUUUUUUCUUCUUGUGAACACAACAUUAUGCAUCCUAAUUAGUAACAAGAAUAUAAUUAAUUUAUAUACUAUUAACCAUUCAAUAAAAAUGCUUGCUAAAGAAUGGCGACUUACGUGCAUCAAAGAGAACGAGGAAGAGGAUACACACGCCAACUAGUGAUUUCUUCUCCAUGGCUUAGUGAAUUCAAAAAGGCUUCAAAGAGAAAAUUAUUGAGAGAAUUUCUAAUAUGGUUAACGAUUGAAAAUCACACAUCUCCUAUCUCCUAUACAUAUACAUUUCACAAUUAAUAGAAUGCCUAAUUAGACAUGUUAUGUCUCCUUCUCCUUUCAAAAAAAAAAUGUUAUGUCUCCUUUUCAACAAACUUUACAUGAGACAUUAAUUGACAAUUAUUUUAUCAUGUACAAUACUUUUUUUUUUUGAAGAAUCAUGUACAAUACUUAAUACCAUUAUUUUAACCAUUGACAAUUGUACAUUAACGCAUUCAUUUAUUUUAAUUUAUUCCAUUAAAAAGUUCUCGGUAAAAUUAUAUUUUUAAUCUCUUAACUUAAUUUCAGGUAACAGUUUGGUCCUUUAUAUAUUUUUCAUUUCAAUUUGGUCAUUUUUGUCCAUUUUCGUAUGAAUUUUUAAGCUCAAAAUUCAUGAUUUUAUUUUCUUAUGGUCUUUCAGUCUUCAAAUCUAUGAUCCUCGUCUAUGUUUGCAUAAAAAUAUAAGAUUUGAAGUUUGAAAAUGUAUAUAAAAAUGGACAAAAAGAACCAAAUUGAAAUGAAAAAAAAGAUAAAGGACCAAACUGUUACCAAAAUUUAAAUUAAGGGACUAAAUUAAAAUGUAAUUUUGCCAAAGUUCCAUUUGACCGUAACCAUUUUGAAGAUUUAUUUCAUUAUUAAAAGGUAGAAAAAAAAAAAAAAACAUUUCCAUUUCAUCCUUCCUUGAUUUAUGGCAAAGCCAACAUGCAUGAAAAAGUAGAUCACAAAUUACACCGGUAAUUAUAAUAAAAAAAAUAUGCAAUAUAAUUUAUUUUUGAAAUAAAAAAAAUUAUAAUUUAGAAAGAAAAAAAAAAUAAUGAAAGAAGUUUUUUCUUUUUUAAGAAAAUAUAAUGAAUGUAGUUAUCACGCUAUUAACAGACAAAUGUUUGCUACCGAUAAAUAUUAAAAGAAAAUUGAGACAACUAUUUGUCACUAAUACAUAAAUAAAAAACACAACAAACAUUUAUUAGGGAAGGCUAUACAAAAUUCACAUGACAUUAGUUGUAAUUUAAAUUGGACCACUGACGCGCAGUACGGAAGCGUAGAUUAGCAAGCGUUAAAUAAGGUGUUGCUAACCGGUGCCCCCGAGGCACCGGUUGAAGGAGCAAUAAAUUGAUCAGUUCUAUUUAUUUUAUCUCAAUUAAUAUGAGAAAUAAUAAACCAAUUAAUUAAAAUUGUAUUUAAUACUCUCUUAUGGAUUUGUAUGGGUAUCUUGUAAUCUUUUGUUUUUCAACUUUUUGGAUUUGUUCUCGUUUUGGCUUUGGUUGUAGGUGCCUGUUGUUUGUAACAGACGUUGGGUGAUUCAUCAUUUUAGCACACCUUGUGCGGGGUGAAUUACCUUUUUACAUUAACCUAGAUUGAACGUAAGUAAACUGAAUUUACAAACUUAUUUUACAUCAACCUAGAUUAAACGUAAGUAAACUGAAUUUACAUUAACCUAGAUUGAACGUAAGUAAACUUAAUUUACAUUAACCUAGAUUGAACGUAAGUAAAUUUAAUUUACAUUAACCUAGAUUGAACGUAAGUAAACUUAAUUUACAUUAACCUAGAUUGAACGUAAGUAAACGUAAGUAAACUGAAUUUACACUAACAUCUUAUAUACAUACGUAAACUAAAUUUACAUUAACCUAAAUUGAACAUAAGUAAACUUAAUUUACAUUAACCUAGAUUGAACGUAAGUAAACUGAAUUUACACUAAUCUAAAUUGAACAUACGUAAACUUGAAUUUACAUUAACCUACAUACGUAAACUACACUAACCCCUUUUAUAUACAUACACGUAAACUUAAUUUACACUAACCUCUCACUUAAAAUCAAAUUGGCUGACAGACAUAUCUCAUACCAAAACAAACAAUAAACAAAUAGAAACUCAUCGAAAAUGAAAUUCAUGAAAUUCACUAACCUUUAUGAAUAUAGUACAGAUCAAUAACAAAGAUGUUGAUUCAGAUAUUGGUUGCACAUCUAUGGUGAUUUGUGGAUGAAAGGGGGUAAGGGUUCAAAAUGAUCAUAAAAGAUGGGUUUUUAAAAAUUUACAUGAAGAGGGCAAUUUUGGUAUUAUUGUAAAAUUUUAAAUAAAUUUGGGUGUAACUUGUUUUUUUUUGGGUGUGACUAGCACCGGUCCUCUCUUAAAGGCACAACAACUAUUAUAUAAUUUUGAGAGUUGAUCAAUUAAUAUCCUGUGAAAUAGAAAUAUAAUAUUAUUUGAAUUCUUCUUGUAAAUUUUCCUCAUAACAAUAUUGUUUUUUCCCGUGAAUUUUUUUUUGCACCAUUUUUUUUCGUUCCGUGAAUUUUACUCAGCAUAUUGUCUUCUUUCAUUUUUUUUUUUUAAUUAAAAGUUGUUGAAAUAAUUAAACAAAGACAAGAUAUUUUAAAGUCCAAAAUAAAUUGGCAAUUUGAAAGAUAAAACAUAUUCAGAUAAGAUAUCAAAUACAAAAUCAUUAAAUGUGUAAUUAAAUUCUCUUCAAAACAAAAAAUUGCAUCUUUUAGAGAAUAUUGAUCACAGCUUUUAUUAAUUUUAAUUAGUUACAUAUUAUUCCUCACUUUAAUUAAGAUAGAUAAGUAGAAUCUAUAAAUUUAUUGCUUCUUAACCAGUGUCCCCGGACACUAGAUAGCAUUACCCUAAUUGUGUUUUAACCCAUUGACAAUUUUACAUGAACUCAUUUAUUUAUUUUAAUUCAUUCCAUUAAAAUAUUCAUUAAACCGUAACCAUUCAUUUUGAAGAUAUAUUCCAUUAUUAAAUAGGUAAAAAUACAUUCCCACUUCAUCCUCCCUUGAUUUGUGGCAAAUCCAACCUGCAUGAAAAAAUAUAUCAGAAAUUAUACUAUUAAUUAUAAUAAAAAAAAUUAUUAAACACUCGGCUUGCCACUCCUUUUGUGAGAACAUCAGCUAAUUGCAAUUCUGAUCAUAUACAAAGGGAAAUGAAAUUAUUCCUGCUUCAAGCUUCAAGCUAAGUUACAUAUGCAUCAGCAGUACAAGCACACAUUCGCAACAAAUUUUCAAAAUUCCAAGGGAAACCUGAUCUAACCAUUAUAUACUCAAGGAAAUUCCAACUGAGAGAGUCGUAGACCUUUUCGAAAUCCACCUUAAAGAUGAGGUACUCCUUCUUAGUUUUUCUAGCAACAUCAAUAACCUCAUUCACCGCUACCACCCCAUCAACCAAUUGACGCCCCUUAAUAAAAGCAUAUUGGUUAGCAGAGAUAAGUUUAUCCAUGACAUCUGCUUUUUUGAUAGCUAAUAACUUACUAUGUUCUCUAAAUAUUGAACUUCAACAUAUAUUUUUCCUUUGGUUGCAGGGCCAUAUGAAAUUUCAUUCUAAUGUCGGAGUAAAAUUAGCAAAUGCCUAUAAGAUGCAUAAGAAAAUUUGAAAAUAGGCCUGAUUUUGUGUAUCCAAAUUCCAACUCUCCUCCAAAUUUUUAAUCACCUUUUUUUUCGAGGAAUAGGCAUAGCAUACACUUAUGUUACAUUGCUGAAUUAAGAUGUGAAAUGUAAAAAUAUUAUGUUGUUAUUGUUUAAUAAUUGAUCAAUCAAAUUAUAGAUUACAAUAAGUAACAUAUGUAGUAUUAUACGUAUAUGACACUUCCAUACACACACAUAUAAUAUUCCUCAAACAUAGGGGUUAUUAUUGGUAUUUGAUUUAAAUCUAAAGUUUAAUAUUCCUCAAACAUAAGGGUUGUACGUAUUUGGGUAUUUGCUAUUUUUAACACGUUGACCAUAACUGCGUUGUUACCUAUGACAUGUAGAUAACUUAUAUUUGUAUUCAUGCAAAUUUUGUAUCGUAAUAGUAUCAAACAAUAUAUAUAUUUAUUAGAUUACAAAUUCUUUAUUCAUAUAUUUCGUCCUUGCAUGCGUCUAUUGGAUCCAUUUAACAAUGUUGUCUAAGGCACCAACAACGGAAGUCAUCCCAGCACCUUCCACUAAAUGCGUGCUGUUUGUUCUUGCAAUAUUUGUUACAACGACUACGCAGGAAGAACGGAAUGCAUGGUCCCUUGAAUGUAGCAGAUAAUUUCUCAUUACAAUAUGUUGCUUCGAUCACCACAAUCUCCUCUGCAUCAAAGUACCAAAUUGAAUAUUAAUUGGAUAACAUAUUUAACUUUGAGAAAUGAUAUUUGUACAACCAUUUUUGCAUAACUUUUGUACAAACUUUCUCUCUCAUACUCACAUUAUCUUCUUAUUCUCUCUCUUCCUUUUUCCCUCUCCAUUGUUUUUGAUCAAUAAGAAGAAAGAAAAAUAAAUUGUCAUAAAGGUUGAACCAAAUGAUUGUUCAAAUAUCAUUGCUAUUUAACUUUUUGAUAAAUAUACAAGAUGGACUAUACUUUUUUAAGUCAAAUCAAAUGAGUAUAACUCAUAGUAUGAACAAUAUAUAAAGUGGUAAACAAUGAAUUGAGCUACAAUAAUAACAUGCCCUUGUUAUUUACAAUUGGAUGUGUGAAAAAAAUUAUAUAUGAGUAAGCGUUUAGAUUUAUAUACAAUACAAUAAAUCAAAAUUUCUAUUAUUGUUAUAAAAAAAUAAAUUAGUAAAUGUUUAUUAGAGAUAGAAAAUUUUAUUUAUCUCUUAUUUUAAUAUCUUUACUUUUCACUUUAAUUAUUUUUCUCUAAUCAUUUUAGCGAUCACCAUCAAAACAUCGUCAAAAGAUAUAUAUCAUAUACUACUUUAAUUGUUUUUCUCUAAUCUUUCUAGUAUCUAAUUAAGAACCACGCAUGUCUUUUUUUUUAUUAAGGAUCGUCGCAUGUAUUUUAAACACAAAUAUUUUGUGAACAACCGAAUUCUUAUACACGCAUUUGACACUCCAUUACAUUAAUUUAAUAAUUAAAAAUAAUUUUAUUUAUAUUUGAAAAACUAUUUUUCUAAAUAUUUUUAUUUAUUUACUAUUAUUAUUAGUAAGGGUGGGAAGUGAUCGGCCAACGAAGUUCUACCACCGCCUGAUGUGGGGUUACCAUAGUUCAACUGCAACCCACCGUAUGGUGACCAAACUCUACCUUUGGUCGAUCAGUAUCAUCCACCACAUAUGGUGGGGGUGCCAAAUGGAUGAAUGACAAAAAGAGUGAUCCUUGUAAAAGGAAUAUAUCUCAAAAAGUUGGUGAAUUUACGUAACAUUGUGUGUCUAAUUUUUUUUAUGAACACGACAUUAUGCAUCAUGAUUAGUAACAAUCCUAAACAAGGAUAUAAUUAAUUAAAAUACUACAAACCAUGCAAUAAAAAUGUAUGCUAAUGAAUGAUGUCUUACGUGCAACAAAGAGAACGAGGAAGAGGAAGCACAAGACAACUAGUGAUUUCUUUUCCAUGGCUUAGCGAUGAGUUAUAAUUUGUUAAAAGGUUUCAAAGAGAAAAUUAGCUCUAUCCCUAUAAUAAACAUUUACCUUCCUUCAAAUUGAAAGUACACGUGGCAUCUUCAUAUUUUUCAUCUCAUUUAAUAUUUUAUUAUCAACCAAUCAAAAUGGAUUAUGACACAUUUAUUUUAUAUCAACCAAUAAAAAAAAAGAUCAUGACUCAUUUGUGUAUAUCAACCAAUAAAAUUAGCUCCAUGCGCUUACUACAGGAUCAUACACACUUUGUCUGCUCUUAAACAAUUCUUGAAAAGUUUUUUUUUUUUUUUUGAAGAAGCUAAAUUAGCACAUCUAAAUUGACACCAGAGGGAAUCAAACAUGCCACUCAAGUUGGUGCAUGUAUAUCAUAAAUUCUCAAUUUGAAUAAAGACUCAUUAAACACUCGGCUUGCCACUCCUUUUGUGAGAACAUCGGCUAAUUGCAAUUCUGAUCAUACAAAGGGAAAUGAAAUUAUUCAUGCUUCAAGCUUCAAGCUAAGUUACAUAUGCAUCAGCAGUACAAGCACGCAUACGCAACAAAUUUAGAAUUGAAUUUGAAAUAUUUCAAUUCCACAAGAUGAUGACAAUUUACUAAAAAAAACAUGAUGAUGACCAUGCAAUGUGCAUAGUGUUACCUUUAAUGGGAGUGUAGAUUUAAUAAGAUGAUGACAAUGCAAUAUCGUUGUUAAAAUUCUGAUCAGAAUCCUACGAUUUUGUGAUUUUUCGAAUCCUGGGUAGAAUCCUAAAUUUUGCAAAAUCUAUUUGUAAUCGUUUAUGUUUAAGCGAUUUUACGAUUUUGAAUUUGUGGGUUUGUAGGCUUGUAACAUAACCAGACUUUCGAAGAUGUUCUACAUUAUAAAUGUCACAGAUAGAAUCAAGCUUUGAAGUAAAGUCCCCAUGUUUUCCACUCUAAUUUGGAAAACACUUUCAACUGAAUGUGAAUCAAGGACUUCAAUAUAGUUGCCUCACGAUCGUGACUAACUAAAUGAGUAUGCAUGCAAUUUUUGGAGCUAUCGUACAUUGUAUUUUUCAUUUGGAAUAAAUGCACCAGCCGUUGGUUUUAGUAGAACAAGUUUUGCAUACACGGCGAAAAAUUCUCAAAAGCAAUUGCCACUAGAAAUUGGUGUGUCAUUGAUUUUUCAGAUUUAGACUGAGUGACUCACUUAAUGAGGAUGAACACAAUGACGAUAAUUAAGAACCUGCUUAUUGGUUGUUGCAAACCAACUGUACAUUAUCAACAAGUUUUUUUGUAUGCAUGUUUGUUACCUUGUAAUUUUCUAUUACAACCCAACAACCUAGUGGAAAUGAGAAAGGAAUACAUGAAGCCUUCACACACUUGACACUAAUAGUUGGUGAUGUAACAAGGUUGAAAUAUUUAUUGUCUCACACUUAUUUCACUAAUCUUUUGAACUUGCCACGGUUAUAUCUACAUAAUCAUAUGAGGAGCGUAUGGUUAGCUUAAUUUAAUAAAUAAAUGAGGACUUGCAAUGCAAUUAAAAUGUUGUGGUUGCAAGUCACUAAUAAAGAACAAAUAAGCACAUUCGUGUCAUGUGUUAUGUGCUUUGUUGUGUGUGUAAGAGAAUCUUCUUUGAUGUAGUACUGUCCUCUCAAUCUCUCUACCAUUUGCUCAAUUUGUUUUUUUAAAACGGCAAGUUAAAGGGAAAUCCAAGGCUUUAAUAAACUGAUCAGAAGCACAACUUUAGUAACAUCUUUUAUAAUGACUUGGUAAUUUUGUUUAAAAUUUACGUUCAUGUGAACCAAUGUUUUAAGGAUAUUCUGUAAGAAUUUUAAAUUAUUUAUUAUAAAAAAUCAUUAAUAACAUUAACAUUUGUAUUUAUAUAUUCCAUCCGUUUCAAAUUAUAUGUCAUUCUAACAAAAUUUGUUUGUUCUAAAUUAUAUGUCACUUUACAAUAUCAAGGAAUCAUUAAUGUUUAUUUUUUUAUUAUACCCGUUACUAUUUAUAUUACUUUAUCUUUUCUAAUUCUUUUAAUUUAUGUUUUCUAUCAUAAUGAAGAAUAUUUUUGUAAAACAACUCACAAUUACUCUCUUCUAUACAGCAUCAACUAUAUUUUUUAAUCUAUAUAAAAUUAUUAUUUUUUACUAAAUUUAUAUGAAAUUGUUAAAGUGACGUAUAAUUUAGAACGAAAGAGUAUUAGUUUAUAAAUAUGAUCAAAAUAAGUGAUAUGAAUAAUAUAUCCUUAUUUAUUAAUGGCUUAAAUGCUCUUUUGGUCUCUUAAGUAUUUAUUUGGUAUCACUUUGGUCCCUUAACUAAUAAAAAGAUUGUUUCAGUACUUUAAUUUAAUUUUUGUUACACUUUUUGGUCCCUUUCGUUAGAGUUGUGAAAAAACUGUUGAGGGGUUAACCCCAAAUGUCUCUGGUGGACUCACAUUAUAGGUGGUCCACCAAAGACCUUAGUAAUACUUUUAACCUUAAUCGUUUGAUAUUUUUUAUAGAAUUUUUUUAUAGAAAAACAACCAUUAAAUCAUACAUGUCUACGAGAUCUAACUAUAUACCACCAACACUUAAUUUAUUUUUUAGCUUUCUUCAUCUCCUUCCCUCAUUCUCUUCUUCAUAUUCAUCAUCACAUACAUACAUUCAUAACAAAACUAAAAAAAAAACCAGAAAAAUCCAUAAAAUAAAUUAAAAACAACCAAAAAAAUCAUAAUCAUAAUAACAAUUCUUUUCACUCAAAAAACAUCACUUUCAUUUAUCUAACAACACAAAUUUUCAAAUCCCAACAACCAAAAUCUCCAAACCCACAAAAUCAUAAUCAUCAUCAUUUUUACAUCAUCAUGUUAAAAAUUCAUACUGCCCUACCACAUAAACCCCAUUUUCGAGCUUGUUAAUCCUCUCUCCUCCAUCAAUUUUCUUCUUUCUUAGCAAGAUCAAAAGAUUGUUGUUGUUGUUGUUUCUUCUCUCCUCCAUUUUCGAGUUUGCCAAUUCUCUCUCCUCCGUCAAUUUUCUUCUUUCUCAGCAAUAUCAAAUGAUUGAGGGAUAUACUUUCUGCAUUUGUUUCUCUAUUAUAUGUAUGGAUCUGUUUAAUGGAUAUGGGUUGCUCGAAAUUGCAGAUCCAAAUGAAGGAGGGAGUAUGUGAAUUGUUGUUUAUGAAAUUUUGGUGGAUAUGUUUAUUGUUGCAUAUUCGAAAUUUCAGAUCUGAAAUUUUGGUGAUUUUUGUUAUUUAUUGUUGUUUAUGAUGGUGGUGGUGAUGAUGUUGUUGAAUUUCUAGAUUUUUUAUGGGUUUUUUGAUGAAGCUUGAUGAUUUUCUAGUUUUUUUUUUGUGUUGUUCAUGUUGUGUUCUUCAUUAUUUUCUUUGAAUGUUUAUGUUAUGUUCUUCAUAUUUUCCAGAAAGGAGAUGAAGGAUUGUAUGGAGAAGAUGAAGGAAAUAAAUAAGUUUUCAACUAAUGUCAAAACGACACGUGUACCACACUUAACGUUUUUUGAAUUUUUUUAACAGAAGAAACCAAAACAGGUAACAGAGAUAAAUAUAAAUUACUGAAACAAUCUUUUUUUUAGUUAAGGGACCAAAGCGAUACCAAAUAAAUACUUAAGGGACUAAAAGAGCAUUUAUGCCUUUAUUAAUUUUAUUAGGUCUGCAGCAACUUAACUUAAUAAUUUCCCUCUAAAAUGCUGCAUUAGGUUAGCAGCAAUUUAACCUAACAAAUUUCAUCUAAAAUAUAGUGCACCAAUUUAACCUAUCAAAUUCCCUCUAAAAUGCAGCAAUCCCUAAUAUUUCUCCUCACUAAUAAGUUUUUCAUUCCUAUCAUGUUGUGUCAUCGUUUGUAUAUAUUUAUUGUUUAUGUAGACUUUUUUUUUUACAAGUUAUUGUACACUUAUUUAAUACGUUUACAAACAAAAUACCCUAAUUUUCAUGCAAACUCGGCUACCAUAAUUUCAAUGCAAAUUCAACUAUAAAUAGCAAACCCAAAAUCGUGUUUCUCUAAAAAAACCAAAACUAUUGUAAAUUACAAACUCUGCUACCCUAAUUUUCUUUUAUAAUACUUUCAGAUUUUAUACAUUUUAUAAAGUGUUUUAUUGUGUCUACUAUGGAUUAUCACCUGUUCUUUUUUUUCACCGUUAUCAAUUAUAUAUUGCAUUUUAUUAUUCGUUUGUCAAUCUCUUAACAAUAAACAUGUGUGAUGCACGGGUCAACUAUCUAGUAGAGUCUUACUAACGAGUGCCCUAAUGACAUUCUUUAAGAAUUCCUAAUUAAGAAACUAUUCAAUAAAAAAAUCUGCUUCAAUUUUCGAUAUAUUGAAGUCAUAUGCUUUCAUAAAAUCUUACUAUUAUCUAAAGUCCUUAAAGAGUACUUUAAGACAUUCUUAACAGUUAACAUUUCCAGAUAUAUCGUUAAACUGCAACAUGUGUAAUGUGUUUAAGAUCUUUCAGGAAAAUUCAUUAGCAUUUCUUUAGAAUCUAGAUGGCUUGUUUUUUACUUUGUUUGGAUUGUUGUGUUGUGUCACCGAAAUAUGCUUUGAUUCUUUGUUUAUAAUUAGAUGGUUAUGUCACCGAGAUAUGCUUGACUUUAUUUAGAUGGCUCUACCUAAUAUUAAUCGCGACAGUGAUGGCUGCAACUGCUAACAGUUGAACAACAAAAACAAGUACUAAUGACAAAGAAGAUAAGACCAUAUUAAUAAAAGAAGACCAAAAUAAAUGUAUUGAGAAAUUAGAAAUCUCAAUGAUAGAUCGACCAACUCAAUUUGCGCACUUUGUGUCCGACCAUUGGAAACUACACCUUAUUUUAAUGCAACACACUUAUGCUUUGUUAAAUAGUCCUAUUUUAGCUUGAAAAUUGCAUUUUAAACUUCAAAAAUUUAUCUUCCACAUUCUAAAAUUAUAAUCUCUCCGUCUUAGAAUGGGUAUCGUUUUAGCAAAAAAAUUGUUUUAACAUGAAUUUUAUUUUCAGUUUCAAAUUCAAUAAUAACUUUUUUAUUUUCAAUUGUAUCCUUUAAUUAAUACUAUAUACAUUACUUUCAAAAUAUUAUUUUUUCUUUAAUGAAAAACAAACAAAUAGUUGAUUAUAAUAAUUUGGUAAUAUAAUAUCUUUUUCUUUUAAUUAAUGCAUUUCUUAAUAUGUGCGUAAAAACUUUAAACGACAAUUAUUUACGGAUGGAGUAUUAAUAGUAGUUAAUUGUAGUUCAUCAUCAUGGUAAUUAAAAGGUAAUAAACGAUAAAUAAUUGUCGUUGAAGGUAUUAAAAUAAUUCUAAGGCGCGGGUGAUCAAUUUUUGAAGUUUAAAGAGUAAUGUUCUUUCACUUUUGAAGUGUAUAAAUGAAGUGUUAUAAACAUUUUUUUUCACAUUUUCUUUUUUGUUGAAUGAAGUCGUGAUAGACUCCGUAUUUUUUUUUUUGAAGGAGACUCCGUCUAUAUUGAUAUUUAUACCAAAUAAAAGAGCAAAUGUGUCCCCGUGAGCAUAGCUCAGUUGGUAGGGACAAUGCAUUGUUAUAUGCAGGGGUCGGGGUUCGAACCCCGGACACCCCACUUAUUCACCUUAUAAGGUGAAUUCUAGCCACUAGGUUACCUGACAAAAAAAAAAAAGAGCAAAUGUUAAAAAAAAGGUUUAUGUCAUUUAUAAAGUUAUAAAAACUUUGUACUUUUAAAAGGAAAAUUACAAUGGUUUAAUCUAACGGUUAAAAUAAAAAUGUAUUUUCUCUGUUAAAAUUUAGAAUAUAAUGCAGAGAUGAUCAAGAUCUUAGCAUCAUUUUAGAGCGAGUUAAAAUAAAAUCUACUUAUAUUCUCGAGUUUAAUUAAAUUAGUCUUCUUUAUUUUAUUUUUGUAUCUGGAUCAAUUAUCUUUUAUGCGAAACAUUAAAGAUUAAUCUCUCGAUACAAAUAGAACCGCGAAAAAGAAAUUUAAUAAUAUUGCAAUUUUUAUUUGGUCAAGUAGUAAAUGAAGUGUCCGAAGUUCGAAUUUCGAUCCAUAUAUAUAACAAUGUAUUUCCUUGUCAAUUGACUUAUACUCACGGAAAUAAUAACAAUGCUACAUUCUAUAAAAUCGAAUUCAAAUUCAAAAUCUCUGCUAAAACUUUAAAGAUUUUAUUUUAACCAUUUUAUUUAAAUGUUUAUUGAACGAAGUUUCUCUAUUUUGAACUAGAGCAUCAUCCAUUCACACUGAAUUUACACUAAGAGUAAGUAAAAGACUCAAUUACACUUUUAGCCCCUAUCUUUUCAAAAGUUACGAUUUUGGCGCCCUAAAUAAUUAAAAUACAAAACUUCCCCUAUGUAUUGAAUCUUUGGCCCCCAAGGCCACUUUUGACCCCCUAUCUUUCCACUUUGGGGGCUAAAACUGCCAAAAAUCCAAUACAUAGGGGGCUGUUUUGUAUUUUAAUUAAUUAGGGGGUUAAAAUUCCAACUUUUGAAAAGAUAGGGGACCAAAAGUGCAAUUAAACCUAAGUAAAAAUAGUCCUUUCAAAAAAAAAAAAGUAAAAAUAGUACUUUUAAAUAAAAAAAAAAAAAAAAAAAAUUUACGUACAAAUCGCGCUCGUGCCGCCCACGUGUUUGUUUAACGUGACCAUUUCUUUUGGUUACACGAUGCUAUGGAUUUAUCGGAUGACAAUAAUGUCAAUGUCAAUCGUGGUUGGCGACUUUAAUAUGGGCCCACACAUGAGAGCAGCACUGCCACUUGCAAUUUUUAUUUUUUUUUAUUUUAAGGAACUACCACUUGCAACUUAAUGACUGGAUAAUUUUCUUAUGGAAAACUAUUGGGUAUACCAUUUAAAAUUCAGUUAAAAAAAUAUUCACCAUUCUUAUAUUAUUUGUCAUUUUUUUUUAGUUUUCAUCGGGUCAUAAUUUUUAUUAUUUCAAUUUAUUUUCUUUUUUAUAGCAUAAAUACAUUAUUUAUUAUUCUUUUUCAAUAACAUACCUUUAAUUAUUGUUUUUCAAUAAUCUAUAACUAUUCAUAACUAUAAUCGAUAAAAAUAUUUUAAUAAAUGAUGCACAACUUACUAACAAUAUUUAUUAUUUCUUUAAUAAAUUUGUAAAACGCAAAUGAGACACUUAAAAUGAGACGGAGAGUGCUUCAUUCUUCCCUUAUUAUAAAGUUCUUUAAUAAACAUUAUGAAUAUAAAUAAAAGUUGUUGAAUAAAUUUCUUUGAAACAUGUGUGACUAUUAUUAAAUUACUCAAUUUGUCUUAAAUUAUAAGUCACUUUGGUAAAAAAAAUAUUUUAAAUUAUAAAUUGUUUUACAAUACCAAUGACAUAUUCCUCAAAAAAUACCAAUGAAAUAUUGUUAUUUUUUCGAUUAUACCAUUAAUCAUUUAUUACUUUAUUUUUUAAGAUUAAUUUUGUAAAACAACUCAUAAUAUAUUUUUUCAUACAAAAUUAAUUAUAUCUCCUAAUACGUGUGAAAUAACCAAAACAACUUAUAAUUUAGGACGGAGGAAGUAAUCUUUAUAUAUAAACUUACGUUAAGUUGGACACUAACAUGUUUGUCUCUGUGUUUUUAUUGAUAAAGAAUGAUAAAUUAUUGGAAAGGAAAGUUGAGUGUGUAUUCCUUUUAUAAUUAUAUCUUGAUAUAUAUGCAUUUAAAGAAAAGUAAUAUAUGCUCUUGUAAAAAUUUGUAUAGAAUUUUAUAUUUAACGAAAAACGAAGUACUUAAGAGAGGAGGGAGUACUUAAAUACUUCCUGUAUAUAAUAAAUGUUAUAUAGUUGAUUAUUUCACAAAAUUAAGAUCAAAUGAUAAAUAAAAAAAAUUGGAUUACUAUCACACAUAGUAUUAUUUCACAAAGAAUAUUAUUAUUAUUUUUAAAAUAAAAAAACACACGCUGUUUCUUGCCAAAAGAAAAUGUUUGUUGCUAUAUAUUAUUACAAUUUGCAACCUCAAUACUUUACAAGUCAUGGCCAUUAUUUUCCUUCAAAAAAAAAAAAAAAGUCAUGGCCAUUAUUAAAAUAUAAUUGUCUAGUCUUUAUAAAUAACGGUUUGAUUAAUGUCCAAUCAUACUCAUAACAACAAAAUGAACUCCUUUGGUCUCACGUUGACUGCUCUAUGCUGUGUAGUGGUUGUUCUUGGAGGGUUACCCUUCUCCUCAGAUGCACAACUUGAUCCUUCCUUCUAUAGGGACACUUGUCCAAAGGUUCAUUCCAUUAUUCGUGAAGUCAUAAGGAACGUCUCUAAGACUGAUCCUCGCAUGCUUGCUAGUCUCGUCAGACUUCACUUUCAUGACUGUUUUGUUCUGGUAUAUACUCUCUCCAUAUUCAUUCUUUCCCAUGUCUUUUGUGUCUACUCAUACUCAUGUAUGUAGAACUAGCACCGACAUGUCAAACUAAACAUGUUUUGAUAUUCGUCACUAAUACUAAACAUUUAUACAUAUAAUUAUUUAUAAUAUUUAAGUUUUUCAAAUUGUUACUAAUAUAAACGUGUAGUGUUAGGUCUGAUGUCCAUGUUAAUAUUUGUGUUGGAUAUUUUACUCGUGUAGAAUCACUCAUAGUUCUUUACUUGAAUUGCUUCUAUUUGAUAUAUCUAAUAUUGUUAGUUUUAGUUUUAUAUUGAAUUUAACUUAAUCUAAAAUAUUGAUUUGGGCUAAAGGUUAUAAGAGUAAGAGAUUUGAAAUUUAAAUUCAGACAAAAGAGAAAAAAAAUGAUAUUCAUCUAACUACUAUUAUAAUUAUUGUCCAUUUCGUUGAGCUUGGUAACACAAACUUGUGACUUUAGUUGGGGUAUAAAAGGCACGGAUCCUCUUCUGUGAGGAAUUAAUUGGAGGACAUCCAGUGCUAAAUCUUACCGUUCAUUUUUUUAAAACAAUUUAAAUUGAAUAAUUUAAACAAAAAGUGAGUGGAGGAGAUUCCAUUGGAUGACACUUUUACGGGAGACAAUCCCCACCCGGGUAAUAAGAUGUUGAAAGAGGUCUUUUGACGUGUGCCAAAAUAAAAUAUUGUCCAUUUCGGGAAAAAAUUCUACAAAAUACGUUUAGAGUUUGUUCUAUUGGUCACGUAUAUUGUCCAAAAUAAAAUAUUGUCCAUUUUGGAAAAAAACGCUAUACCAAAUACAAGAUACAUGACCAAUAGAACAACAAUGAUACAAAAGUACAAUCCAAAGUCACACUUGCACUUCCACAACAUGUUUGCAUAAUGGAUCCACUUUUACACUCAACCGUUGAAAUUGGAGAGUUACCUAAAGGGGUAAAUAUGAUUUACUCAUGGUCACUACUACAGUGGAUACAUGUCAUUAUGACAUCAUUUUGGUUUCUUUUCCAUAUUAUUUUGAAGUUCUAACAACAAUUUUUUUAUUACUAGUAAAUAAAUUUUGAUUUUUAAUAUUUGUAUUAUGUUGUCUAUGAUUGUAACAGGGUUGUGAUGCAUCAGUUUUAUUGAACAAAACUGAUACCAUUGUGAGUGAACAAGAAGCUUUCCCAAAUAUCAACUCUCUACGAGGUUUGGAUGUUGUGAAUCAAAUCAAAACAGCAGUGGAAAAGGCUUGUCCUAACACAGUUUCUUGUGCUGAUAUUCUUGCCCUUUCUGCACAAAUUUCCUCAAUUUUGGUAUGCCUCAUCCUAACAUGAUUAAUAACAACUAUCAUUUUAAUUAUUAGUGAUGAUUAAUUAAAUUAAUACAUGUAUGUAUUGACAGGCAGAUGGUCCUAAUUGGAAGGUUCCCUUAGGAAGAAGGGAUGGUUUAACCGCCAACCAAUCGCUCGCUAAUCAAAAUCUUCCGGCUCCAUUCAAUUCGUUGGAUCAACUUAAAUCUGCAUUUGCUGCUCAAGGCCUCAGUACUACUGAUCUAGUUGCUCUCUCAGGUAUGCAAUGUUUUCUAAUUAAAAGUGCUCGAAUCACUUCGUUAUCAUGUAUAUAAUAACAAAUUAUAAGGCUAAUAUAUAUGCUUCAAAUGUAGGUGCUCAUACAUUCGGAAGAGCACGUUGCACUUUCAUCACUGAUCGAUUAUACAACUUCAGCAGUACAGGAAAACCUGAUCCAACUCUUAAUACAACUUAUUUACAAGAAUUACGUAAAAUAUGUCCUAAUGGUGGACCACCAAAUAACCUCGCCAAUUUUGACCCAACGACUCCUGAUAAAUUUGACAAGAACUACUACUCCAAUCUUCAGGGUAAAAAGGGUUUGCUUCAGAGUGACCAAGAGCUUUUCUCGACAUCUGGUGCUGAUACCAUUAGCAUUGUCAACAAGUUCAGUGCUGACAAAAAUGCUUUCUUUGAUAGCUUUGAAGCCGCCAUGAUUAAAAUGGGUAAUAUUGGUGUGCUGACCGGGAAAAAAGGAGAGAUUAGAAAACAUUGCAAUUUUGUUAAUUCAAAAUCAGUUGAACUUGGUCUAGUGAAUGUGGCUUCCACAGAUUCAUCGGGUAUGGUUAGCUCAAUUUAAGUACUUUAGGGUCACUAGUUUCAAAUGUAGUGAUUGGAGACCAUAAAUAAAGAUGUUAUGACUAGGCACAUUUGUGACUUGUGUCACAUAGUUACUAGGUGCUUUGUGAGGGAAGACUUUUUGUAUUUGAAGUAUUUCUUUGGGUUGUGUUCAUAAUCAAAUUUUCUCUAUCUUAUUUUGGACUUGUUUUGGCAAAAAUUUAUGAGUAACAUUAGUAUUUAUCUUAUGUGAAAAUUAUGAUGAUAAAAAAUUGACCAGGGGAGCUUAAAAAUUGACCAGACGAACUUAAAUACAUUUGCCAUUUCCUCUUCAAAAAUAUUGUUGGUUCUCAUUUUUCAAACCCCUCAAGUAGCUAACCAAAUUAUAUGCAUCACUUUCUUACUGCUCUUGAUUGCAACAACUCUCCAAAAAGCAAUAAAUGAUUCGACUACGAGAAAAUCGCGUGGUUCUCACCAAAUUUUUAAAGGAGCACAUGUUCCUUGGAAAAAAGAGUACAUCCAAGGAACCAAGUCCUUGGAAAACAUUUAGUGGAAAUAUUUUUUGAAUUCCAACAUCUAUGAGGAACAAAGUCCUUCGAAAACUGAGAGGCAAUAUUUUUUAAAUUCAACAUAUUGGAAGAACAAAGUCCUCAUAAAUGUCUGGAGAUCUAACCUUUAUAGAGCGUUUUUGUUGCUUUAAGAUGUGUGAUUCUAGGAUUUUUUUUUUAAGAAGUCAAACUAGCCAACCGAAAUUGACAUCGAGAAGAAUUGAAUUUGAGACCUUAAGAGAGCACACUCCACGGUCUUAAGCCAACACCAUCAAAACAACCCAAAUGGGUUUCCAAGAAAUCCUUUCUGAUGAGCAUUUUGAGGACCAAGUGCGUUGGAAACGAGCAUCAAGAAGACACAUUUUGCGCAUCAUAGCACAAGAAACUUUGAAGUCAUUGGAAGUCGCACAACUUUUCUAGGACAUCGUUCCUAGAAAAUAGGUUGUCCAAAAUUUAUCUUUAUAACUACACACUCUCUUCCAUAAUUUCUUCGGUUACAAUUCUCAUUCUUUUCUCCAUUAUUUCAUCUCUUAUUUUUUUUUCAUUUUAUUUCAUUUCUCCUUUUUUAAUCACUAUCUUCAAUCUCUUCAUCGUUUCAUUUCUCCAUGUUUUCUACAUUCUUUCAUUUUACACCGUCUUUUAUCAUUUCUUCAUUCUUUCAUUUCUCUCUCUUUUUUUCCCUUACUUCAUUCAUUUCUCAUUUCUCUUUUUUUUUUUCCUCCUUAAUUCAUUUCUCAUUUGUUUCUAUUCUAUCAUUUCUCCUUUUCCCAUAACAAAAUCACUAUUUCAAUUUAGAUUUUUUCAUUGAAGAUGGGGGAUUUAUUGAUUUUAUCAUUAAAUCAUUUCUAAUUAAAUGCAAAUCAAUUCAUUCAGAAUGAUUUUUUAGUUAUUUUAAUUUGGGUUUUUCUAUCAUGUGCAACUUUUUUCUCUAUUGUAUUUAUAUUUGAUAAAUGCCCGAAAACAAAGUGCAAUAAGACUUCUAGAGGAAUGGGAAUCAUCUUGAAGUUUGGUUAUGGUAGUUGUUGUAGAUUGCAUGGUUAUGUAAUACAAUCUCUAAAGUAGCUUAGCCCUAACCAAUCAAUCUUUAAGCUCCAAUUGUCCUAUAUAAAAAUUUGAAAUCUAAAAAUGUUAGAACAUUUGAGAAUCAAAGCAUAAUAUAGCACAUCAAUCCUUAGAGACUUUUGGAGUCAUCAACAUCCUUCCAUUCUUUACACACUUGCGAUUGAUCUGCAACAAUGGGCGGAUAGUGUUUUAUGUAGCAAACCUUCACAAUGUGACAUGCCAUUGUACAAUGACUACACACCUUGCGAUUGUUUGAUCUUUGAAUGGAACUACCGCAUCCUCUUCCUUGUGGUUUACGAAAUUCAAUAGAAUUUAUAAGGAUAUAUUGUUAGAGAAAAUUUUGUUGAUGUUAGGUAUAUGAUUCAUAAGAUGAAUAUGAGAUCGAACAAGAUCAAAAUUCUCAUUCAAACCAAAAAGAAGAUCAAAAUGUUUUUAGCUAUGUUUUUUAGUUUGUUUGUAUGCAUUUGAAGACAAUAUAGAGGUUUUUAGAGUGAGUUUCUCAUGGUGUUGGAAACGUUUUGUAAUGUUUUGAUUUUAGUCGUUGUAAUUCAAUUUGUUCCCUAAUUAACUAGACAACUUCUUAUUUGUUUUGAGUCUUUUAUGAUCAAAUUAUGUAGUUGGACGACACCUCAUGGAAGUUAUGGAAGCUAAAGAAUGAAAAACAACAAAGGUUUUAAGACAAGACAAGUUGGAGAAAUUAUGUUCCAAGUUCCAAGAGCAAGUCGAGAAAAAAAAUAGUUAAAGAACGAAGAAAAACGAAAAAAAAUACAUCUGAGCCACGUGACACGAGUAACCCUGUGCACCCUGCACAUGGAAUGCUUAUAAAGGUCAACUGGCCAUGUCUUAAUGCGACCCCCGUGUGCCGAGCAAGAAAAAUAACUUUUUGUUGUUUUUUUCGAUUGCAUGCAGGGGGAAAAUUCUAGUAACCCAGUGCAAACCCAAUGCGAAAAUGCCUAUUUUAAGGCCUUUGUUCACCUAAAAAUAUUCAUUCAGAAACAUGACGGUUUAAAGGCAAACAUGGACAACCAAAGCAUUAAAAAUAAGUUGUUUCCUACCUCUUUCCAUUUGUUAUAUAAUAUGUUUUGUUUUUACUUGAUUAUUUAUUCAGUUACCAUGAGUAAAUAAACACCUUAAGAUUAGGGUUCUAACAUGAAAUUAUAAUUAUUCGUGGGAAUGUUAUAAUGCUUGAUUUCUUUAUUCAAUUAUGAUCUGAGUUAUGCCUAAAAAAAUAUGAUAUGAGUUAUAUUUACUUGAAACCCGUAGACUUUGAAUUGAUCUUAGGUUCAGAUUUAUAGAUUGACAUAUUUCUCUAACUGAAAUCGUUAUUUAUGUAUUUUGCUCAAGAGUCAUUAAAAAACCUAGAGAUUCUUAGUAUUAUGGUUAGGUUCUAAGACACGUGUGCAACUGCAAAUCCUUACCGUGUCAAUAAUACGAUUAUGACGUGUCAUAUGUUUGUUCACAUAUAAUUCCAUUAAAUAGUUUAGUUGCAACAUGACAUUUUGGAGUCAAUUACCUGUGGGAGGAUAAGUCCAUGAAUUAUAUAUUCCUUAGGCUAUAUUUGGUAUGGAACAAUCUAAAAUUUGGAGGGCGAACAAUCUUCGACACACAUGGGGUUAACCAUCGUUUAUAUAGUCUUAAGGUCAUAUUUGAUCGGAAACAUGCAUUAAUCCAAUAAAGAGGUAUAGGGAAUUCAAAUAAUCUUAAUCGUUGUUAAAUCAUUUGAAUUUCUUCACAAAUUAUCUUAAGAGUGUGUUUGGAUGGGGGAAUGUUUUGAGGGAAUGUAUUGUUUUAAGGGAAUUCAAAUACUUUGGGGUGAAUUACAUUGUUUGGAUAAUAAUUUGAAGUAUUUUCAAAAUGAUGGAAAUUUAUGAAGUAUUUUGUUCAAGUUAAAUUUAGAGAAUUUUAAAUGACACCUAAAAGCUAAGAAUUUCAAAUUUCUUUAUUGUUGUUAUUUUUCAUAUUUUGCAUUUUGGUCCUCAAAUUUUCCAAAAAUUUUAAAUUGACCCCAAUAAAUUUCCAAAAAUUGCAAAUUGGUCCCUCAAUUUUUUCGAAAAUUAUAAUUUGACCCCUCAAUUUUUUGAAAUUUACAUUUUGACCCCUAAUUUCAAUUUUCAAAUUUGGCCCAAAAAAAUUAAAAUUUAUAAAAGUUGCCCAAAAAUGAUGACAAUGAAUUUUUUUAUUACUUCAUCCAAACAAAAGAAUUAAGAAAUGAAAUUAAUUUAAUGGAAUCAUUUAAAUUGUCUAGGAUUCUAAAUUCUUUAAAAUUUCUCAAUUACCUCAUCCAAACACACUUUAAAAGUAUUGAAAAUUUCUAAAACGGAUCCAAAAUUUUGCUUAAAGUAAAAAAUUUCACAUUGUAAUUUAGAAAUGCAAAGGAGGAAAUACAAGUAUGUAAUAAAUUAUGGUACAUGUAUUUGUACAUGUUGUAUAGAUUUUUGACAAAUUGACAAACUUAGUACAUAAAGAACAAGUUUGAGUAAUUUAUUUAUAUAUUUACGACUUUAAUGGGAAAAAAAUUGUGAUUUUGUUAUGGACUGAGCUUUGACCAACAUUGUUGGUCCAAUGCAUAGAGGCUCAUUAAUGUGUAAUAUUCUCCAUUCAUGACAAUACAUCAAAUCUCAUGUACGCCUCAUCACAUAGGAGAAAUUCUCAUCAUAUCCUAAUCGUUCAGCUAAUCUCCCGUGCCUUGUGCUGAAUUUCUAGAAAACUUUUAAAAUGUCUCAAACUAUAUAAGUGUGACUUUGCAUGACAUUCGAUGUACAAUUACAUUUGAACAUAUUUUCACAUACUUUUCCUUCCAUAAUUUCAUACUGACUUGAGCAUUGGAGUGCUAACCCUUUUUACAAGUUUCUUCCCCCUCGUACACUGCGCCAGAGAAUAAUUUCCCAUGCACCAUAAAUCUUUCUCCAUUGGUCCUGAUUCUUUGUUGCAUGAGCAUUGUCACCCGAUAACCUUCACUUUGGUCCACUCCGUAUUAUUUGCGUCGUCUAUGGGAACUAUGCAUUGUUUCCCUCGAACUUCCUCAAAUCCACUACCUUAAUUGUUUUCUGCUAUACUUUCCAAUGGACAGAUCUUCUCCAUCUUAGGCUAAAAACAUCAAUUUUGAUACUCCCAACACCAUUGGGACUCCCCAUUCUAUGUUGCCACUAUUGCAAGAUUGUGUUGAUCUUGUUAUGUCUUUUGCGCAUGAAGGAAACACAAACACCAACCUUUCUCUAGUUAUUGAAUGUCGCGUCGCCACCAUUCUUUCUCCAAUUUAUCAAGGUGAAAGUCUCCCCUACCGGAAAGAAUGAGACUCUUCGUGAAUAUAUUGAAAGGUUCACUAAAGAGGAAGUAGAAGUCUGGGGAGUAAAUGACAAAGUUAAAUGCUUCGGCUUUAAAAAUGGCCUAAGGCCCAAUUGCAUGCAUGUAUAGGGGGGAGUUAGGUCUUGAAGUGCUCAAAAAUAUGAGUGAGUUGCUAGUAGAAGCUAAACCCUUCAUUAACUACAAAGAAAAGCUGCUUGUAAAUGAGAUAGUGAAAAAUUAAGAUAACCUAGAAUAUUUGAUAUGUCAUGGACACAUCAAAAUUAAGUUAUAAUUUAGGCAAAAUGCAACAUUGAGUUUUUAAGUUUAAUGUUUGUAACAAUAUAAUUUUUGAGUUUCUCCAAAUAAAAAUGAUUUUAUACUAUGAAGAAAUAUUAAUCCCUCAAAGUCUUUCCUUCUUAAUGCCAUCUAUUUCUUCCAUUUACUUCUUUCUUUUUUCCAAAUCUCUCCAUCUUUUUCUCUCCAAACUUGCAAACAAAGUUGGACCACGAAGAUCCAAAAUUUAAUCUUAAAAUAACUCAUAGCAUACUUUUCGCAUAGAAUUACUUGAGAGGAAAAGUUUACUCAGUUUAUAAAUGGCUUUACCUAAUAUUUUAAGGCGGGAAUAAUCAUUGUACCCUAACAUAAAGCAAAAACGUACUAGUUGAACUAGUAAUAAUGGCAUCGAUCAGUCCUCAUAGAAAAAUCAAAGGUGUCAAAAUUGAAAAAGAAAGCUCUACACAACUUGCCAUCGGAGCUGGGAAAGCACUCUUUGCUUUAAUGCAACAAUUCCAACCUAACUUUAACAGGUUAUAAUUCUCUAAAUUCCUCUAACUUUAACAAAAGUUAAUAUCCUUGUGAUUUUCAAGAGAAAUUCUUAACUUUUUUAUAGUAAAAAGUACAGAGCUCUAAUAUUUAUGAGACUUGUGUUUAUAAUUGAUUUUAAGAUUAGAUUCAACGAAUAUCCUAUUGUGUUUAUGUGGCUGCCUGGCUUUGGUGAGCCUGCUUUAUUCUCUCUUUACUCAGCUUUUGGUGCUAUGUGGGUUUUGGGUGGUUUUUUUGUGUUCUCUUUAUGCCUUUAUAUUGCCUUUUAUUUUAUUGUUUUUAGUUCUACUGUAGUGCAAUUGUUUAUUCAUCUCAUUUUUUAAUCAAAAAAUUAAAUAAUAUUAUGUAAAAGAUUUGUUUUUUUAAAGGAAAAAUAGAGUUGUUGUUAGAAUUAUAAUUUAAAUGAGGGUCUUGCUAACUGUGUCUUGUUAAGGAUUCAAAAAUAAAAACAAUAUCUUUUAUGCCGAUAAAAGCAUUUAUUAGGAUUUUUUUUUGUCAAGUAGCCUAGUGGCUAGAGCUAACACAAUUUAUUGUGGAGAAGUGGGGUAUCCGAGGUUCGAACCACAAUCCCUACACAUAAUAUGCAAUAUUUCUACCAACUGAGCUAAACUCACGGGGAUAUAAAUUGAAGGAUAAAUAAUGAUAUAAAUCGAAGAUAAAUAAGAAUCAUGUAUGCCCUUUGCAAGCACUAAGAUAAUAAAAGUAAUUUUUUAUUAACAAAAGUAUUUUUACGAAUAGCUAAAACAAACUCACCCAAAAUCUUUCCUACGAGUCAUCAUUAUGUUGUCCAAAAUGUUCAUUACAGACUAAAAAUGGCAUGAAUAUAAAGAUAUUUUUGAACAAAUUCGUGCCGCCCACGUGCCUUCUUCAGCAGAACCAUGUCUUGGACAAGAUACAAUGGAUUUCAUGAGUGACAUUGAGCAACAUUAUUUCCCUAAAAAAAAAAAAUUGAGCAACAUUGUUCGUGGCUGGCUUUUAUGGGGUGGACAACUAAGAGUAUUUCUUUGUCUAUAACUUUAAAAUAUAAUAUUUUUUAAAUAAAAUUAUAUUUAUUAUUUGUUUCUAUUUUUGAAUGCUUAACAAAUAUCUUUAAGGGCAUUUUGUUGGUAUGGUACGUAAUUUAUUUGGUCAAUAUUGGUGUGACCAUUUACUACAACCACAAGCUAGCCUUUACUAGGAGUCAUGAGUGGCACAUGCCCAUUUAAUUUGGCUAUCUAUAAAUGUAAGAGCCAUUUAUGAAGAAUCUCAAACUCAAUCUCACAACAAAAAUGAACUCUCUUCGUGCUGUAGCAAUAGCUUUGUGUUUUAUUGUGGCUUUGUUUGGAGUGUUACCUUUCCCUUCCAAUGCACAACUUAAUCCAUCCUUUUAUAGCAAAACUUGUCCAAAUGUUAGUUCCAUUGUCCGGGAAGUCAUAAGAAACGUUUCUAAGACAGAUACUCGUAUGCUUGCAAGUCUUGUUAGGCUUCACUUCCAUGACUGUUUUGUUCAAGUAUGUAUACUUUACCUUCUACUUGUAAAUGAUUUGUAUUAUGCUAAUGUUAUAAUCAUAAUGUAAAUAAUGUAAUCUAUGACUUGAACAGGGUUGUGAUGCAUCAGUUUUGUUGAAUAACACUGCUACUAUUGUCAGUGAACAAGAUGCUUUUCCAAACAGAAACUCAUUGAGAGGUUUGGAUGUUGUGAAUCAAAUCAAAACAGCAGUAGAAAAGGCUUGCCCUAACACAGUUUCUUGUGCUGAUAUUCUUGCUCUUGCUGCUGAAUUAUCAUCUACACUGGUAUAUAUAUGCCUCAUCCUUUAUUAUAUAGUAUUUUUAUCCACCAUUGAAUUUCAAAUGGAAAUUCUUAUUGACUCUUUUUGUUUUGUGAUGUAAUAAAAUAGUCUCAAGGUCCUGAUUGGAAAGUUCCUUUAGGAAGAAGAGAUGGUUUAACAGCAAACCAAUCACUUGCUAAUCAAAAUCUUCCAGCUCCUUUUAACUCAUUAGAUCAACUCAAAGCUGCAUUUGCUUCUCAAGGCCUCAGUACUACUGAUCUAGUUGCACUCUCGGGUAUGUAACAUUUUUAAAGUUUUUGUUUAAAAAUUUCUAAUUAGUAGUAUGUAUGAUUAUUGAUCUAUAUCUGUUUCAAUUGCAGGUGCUCAUACAUUUGGAAGAGCUCAUUGCUCUUUAUUUGUUAGUCGAUUGUACAACUUCAGCAAUACGGGAAGUCCCGAUCCAACUCUUAACGCAACUUACUUACAACAAUUGCGCAAUAUAUGUCCCAAUGGUGGACCUGGAACUCCCCUUGCAAGUUUUGAUCCAACUACUCCUGAUAAAUUUGACAAGAACUAUUACUCUAAUCUUCAAGUGAAAAAAGGUUUGCUUCAAAGUGAUCAAGAGUUGUUCUCAACAUCUGGUGCUGAUACCAUUAGCAUUGUCAACAACUUUGCCACUGAUCAAAAAGCUUUUUUUGAGAGCUUUAAGGCUGCUAUGAUUAAAAUGGGAAAUAUUGGUGUGUUAACCGGGAACCAAGGAGAGAUUAGAAAACAAUGCAACUUUGUUAAUUCAAAAUCAGUAGAACUAGGUCUUGUCAAUGUUGCCUCAACAGAGGAGGGUAUGGUUAGCUCAAUGUAAAUGUAGUGACUGGAGCCAAAUAAUAAAUAAGCUAUAACUAGGCACAUUCAUGGUAUGUGUUACAUAUCCUUAAAAAAAAAAAAAAAAUGGUAUGUGUUACAUAGUUAUUAGGCGUUUGGUGAACAAUUUGUUUUUAUUUGGUACAAGUUUCUUUUUUUAUGUGAAGUACUCCCUCUAUUCCUUUUUAUGGGAUCUUGUAACGAAAAUCACGAGUAUUAACAAAACUUGUUGGAAUAAUAAAUUUGUCACAAAUAUGUAUGACUAUUACUAAAUUACUCUUUGUUAUAAAUAAGCAACAUGCUAUAUUAGUCUAUUAAUUCACUUAUCUAUCUUAACAUAUAUCAUAUUAUUUGUUUAAAUAUAUUCAGAAGAAAUAGUCUUUUAAACAAGAUACAAGUUAUAUCACCCUUUAGAAACCAAGAAACAUACCUAAAAAAUAUACCUACGAUAGGCUACAAAUCAAACUUAAACCUUAAAUGUUUUGACAAAUUAUAUCGGAUCUUGCAAAGCCUAACUCGACUUAACAUAUAUUUACCCCUUAUCACUAUGGAAGAUUUCAUGUGCCUGAGGUCUUCAGGUUUGAUAACAAUGUGGUUGGCUACAUGCGUGUAUAUAUGGAAAUGUUAACUUGUGUCCUUAGAUCACAUUUUUUGGAACUUAAUUAGAGUGGAAAUUUUGUCUAGGAAAUCAUGUCAAUUUAUUCUUCUAGAGAUUGAAAGUUAAUGUUUUGUAAUAAAUAUUUAUCAUUUAUGGAAUCUUUAGCUAAUAUAUAAAUGACUUUAUCGUUAAUAUAAGCGGAUGUCCAUAUAACAAUUGGGUUAAUGAGUCAUAAUAUUAGACCAUGCAUAUUAUAUUGUUUGUUCUCCAAGUUAUCUCUGUAAAUAAAACUCAAAUGUAACCUAAUUAUACACCACAAAAUAAUAAUAAUAAUAGUAACAAUAAAAUAUUUUUUCUCGGAUUAAUCGAUUUUUUGAUCGGAUACCGAGUUUUCAAAAAAGAAGAAAAAAUAAUAAUAAUAAUAAUAAUAAAAUAUUUAUCUCUCUUCUAUCCCUUCCUCCCCUUUCUUUAUUCUUGUUCUUAUUUCCUUAGUUUCAUAACAAUUAAUUUAUUGAUUUAGAAAACAAUUAUACAGAAACACUUUAAUUUAUGAGUGUGCCACAGACGCUUUCAACAUACAUGUUUGUAUAUCGGUUUUGAUGGGCUGUGUCUGACAUAAAAUUGGCGAGCUUUGUAUUUGCAUAUAAAGUGUGCCUCAUUCUUUGGGUUUUAUUUGAGUUUUUAUAUUAAUUUUUUUACCAUUCAAAUAAAAGAAGACCAAAACAACUUGGGUCAUAGUUUUAGUGCAACUUGGUGGCAUAGGAGAUACCAAUUUGCACGGAAAAGUGAUAAGUUCUGUCAAAAAAUAAUUAUUAUUUAAGUCUGGCAGGACCAGGGAGGGAUGAGAAUGAGGGAGAAAUGCUUAUUAUAGAUUAAUGAUCAAAUCAACAACGAAGAAAAGAAAAUGCUUAACAAGAUUAAUUAUUUUCUUUUUACAAACGUUCGAUUAAAUUAUUAAAAAUGUAUACGUUUGGAUCAAAAUUUUAAAAUAAUUUUUGACUGUGCAUUUUGUUAAUCAAAUUAAAUGUUUCAUUAACAUUAUCAUAUUUGUCUUUUUAUAAGAUACAAUGGAUUUCAUUGAGUGACAAUGAGCAACAUCGAUUCGUGUGGUUGGCUUUUAUGGGGUCCACUUAUACGAGUAGCACGAUAUGUAUAGUAGUACUAUUUGGACCUUGUUUUAUUCGGUCAAUUUUCACACCUCAAUGGUAAUAAUGUUCUCACACAUCAACCACAAGCCUUUUCUAGGAGCCAUUCACGACUCAUUGUCCCUUCUUUUUCUAUAAAUAAGUGCUUAUUUUAUACACAUUCUCAGUAUCACUUUCACUUUCACUUUCACAACAAACAAUGAACUCCCUUCGUGCUGUAGCAAUAGCUUUGUGCUGUAUUGUGGUUGUGCUUGGAGGGUUACCCUUCUCUUCAAAUGCACAACUUGAUCCAUCCUUUUACAGGAACACUUGUCCAAAUGUUAGUUCCAUUGUUCGUGAAGUCAUAAGAAGUGUUUCUAAGAAAGAUCCUCGUAUGCUUGGUAGUCUUGUCAGGCUUCACUUUCAUGACUGUUUUGUUCAAGUAUGUAUAAUAUUCAAUCAUUCACUAACUACAUGUUCUAUUUUGCUCAUUGCGUAUGACAUGCUAUAAAUUCUUGAAAUCUUAGUAUACCUAUAAUCCUAUAGUAGUAUGAUCUUCCCAUUUAAGUAGAAUUAGUACAUAGUAAGAUAUAAUAUAAACUAGAACAAGAUCAAAUAUAGCAAAUAAAGAAUAUGUUUAGCAUGUCCUUAUGCUGCCCCUAUAUGUUAUACAAUCCAAAAAUGAAAAAAAAAAAAAAAAUCUUAAUUUUGUGUCUUAAACAUAACUUGUGUUUAAGGGCACAAAUUAACAUUCACUCUGCUCAUUAAGAAAAUAUUAAGUAAUAUAUCUAGCAAAUGAAUUGAGUUGGAAUAGUGACUUUACUUACUUACCCGGCUGAACCAAAUUCUAAAAAUUUGAGGGUUGAAAUAAAUGAAAAAUAGAAUACUAUUAGAUAUAUUUACCCUUUUGUUUUAUUAUUAAAAUAUAAUCAUUCAUUAGUAUGUCCAAUAAUUAUAGUUUAAAGUGUAUGUCUAAUAAUUAUAGUUUAAGGUUUUUUUCCUUUUUAGUGAGAGAUUUUUUUUUUUACUCAUUUAGAAGCAAUGGAGCAAGUUUUUUUUUUCAAUUAGCAAAGACAUUGUAUAAAAAACUAUGGCAUCAACCUUUUAAAUUGUACGGUUGAAGUUAAUUUUUAUUAUGCUAUUGUUAUAAUCAUAAUGUAAAUUAUGUGAUCUAUAUACUGUAACAGGGUUGUGAUGCAUCAGUUUUACUGAACAAAACUGAUACCGUUGUGAGUGAACAAGAUGCUUUUCCAAACAGAAACUCAUUAAGAGGUUUAGAUGUUGUGAAUCAAAUCAAAACAGCUGUGGAAAAGGCUUGUCCUAACACAGUUUCUUGCGCUGAUAUUCUUGCCCUUUCUGCUGAAUUAUCAUCUACACUGGUAUAUAUAUGCCUCAAACUGUACUAUAUAUUUUUCUCAUUUACCAUUGAAUUUUCAAAUCCAAUUAUUAAUUCUGCUUAUUUGUUUUGUGAUGAAAUAAAAUAGGCAGAUGGUCCUGACUGGAAAGUUCCUUUAGGAAGAAGAGAUGGUUUAACAGCAAACCAAUUACUUGCUAAUAAAAAUCUUCCAGCUCCUUUCAAUACUACUGAUCAACUUAAAGCUGCAUUUGCUGCUCAAGGUCUCGAUACUACUGAUCUGGUUGCACUCUCGGGUAUGUAACAUUUUUAAAGUUUUUGUUUAAAAAAAUCUAAUUGGUCGUUACAAUGAUGACGCCAAUGUUACAAUAAUAAUAUAUUUGAUUAUUGAUUUAUAUAUGUUUCUCGAUUUCAGGUGCUCAUACAUUUGGAAGAGCUCAUUGCUCUUUAUUUGUUAGCCGAUUGUACAACUUCAACGGUACAGGAAGUCCGGAUCCAACUCUUAACACAACUUACUUACAACAAUUGCGCACAAUAUGUCCCAAUGGUGGACCUGGCACGAACCUUACCAAUUUCGAUCCAACGACUCCUGAUAAAUUUGACAAGAACUAUUACUCUAAUCUUCAAGUGAAAAAGGGUUUGCUCCAAAGUGAUCAAGAGUUGUUCUCAACAUCUGGUUCAGAUACCAUUAGCAUUGUCAACAAAUUUGCAACCGAUCAAAAAGCUUUUUUUGAGAGCUUUAAGGCUGCUAUGAUCAAAAUGGGAAAUAUUGGUGUGUUAACUGGGAAACAAGGAGAGAUUAGAAAACAAUGCAACUUUGUUAAUUCAAAAUCAGUAGAACUAGGUUUAGUCAAUGUGGCUUCCACAGAUUCAUCAGAUGAGGGUAUGGUUAGCUCAAUGUAAUUGUAGUGAUUGGAAGCAACUAAUAAAUUAAUAAGCUAUAACUAGGCACAUUCAUGGUAUGUGUGAGAUAGUUGUUAGAUGCUUUGUGAGCUAAAAUCGUUUGUAUUUCAUUUGAAGUGUUUCUUUGAGUUGUGAGUUGAUAAUGAUCAUUUUCUGUUUCUUAUUUCGGACUUGCUUUAGCAUUAAUUUUACAAGUUUUAAGUUAAUGGAGUGCAAGACAAAGACAUCUCUUACACUAGAUUUAUCCACUUUGUAUGAUAUUUCCCAUUAAUUUACAUGCUAAUUUUGUAUAAAAAAGUAAUAAGCAAGUAUCUCCAUGGUAUAUAUUCGUAUAUUUUCUAUUACUCAACAAACUUAGUAAAAAAAAAAAAAGGGUCAUUUCAUUUAUCACCGGAUGAUAUUGAACAAUUUAUCAAUUUUACGACUUUAAAAAUCAGUGAUUUGUUCUUACUUUAGGCUCGGUCAUACAAAUACUGAUGUUAUUACCUCUUUUUUUUUUUUUUUUUUUUUUUUUUUGGAAAAAUGAUGUUAUUACCUCUUUUGAAUUAAGUUAUGGAUUCUCCAAUCCACAUAAUUUUAACACAUGACCCCAUAUAUAUGCGCGGCUAAUUUAAUCUCAUCUAAAAAGCAUGAAGAAAUAAGUUAGUAAACAUACCCUUCCAUUUACUUUGACAAAAAAACUCAAGUCUUUCUUUUCAAAUAUGGUGACAUUGGUGGUAUAUACUUAAAUCCCUUAAAAAUUUGAUUUAAGUAAUGUUUAUUUAGUAAAUAUACUUUAUUAAGCAGACUCUCUUUUCAUAAGGUUCAUAAAUUUUAAUAAUUAAAAUAUUAUUUCAUUGUUUAAAUAUGGUGAUGUAUAAUUAUUGAUUGAAAUCUAAUUUAGAAAAUUUUGUUUGAGAGAUGUUAAAUUGAAGAGACGAGUAAGACUUGAUAAGUCACAAACCCAAAUCAUUUUGAUUUGGGAACACACACAUAAGUAAGGAAGAUAAAAGAAAAUAAAUUAAAAACUCCAAAUUGGAUAUGUAUGUUUAAGUGCGUGCGCGUCCAAAUUAUUUUUGUCUAAGAUUAUGUAUUGUGCCCAAACCAAUUAAUGUUGCUCUAAAGAGAUUGAAGGUUUAUUUAUUCCUAUAAGAUUAACUUACUGUUGUGAAUUCGAACUCAAAACUCAUACCAAUACAAACUAUGAUGUGUGGAGCAAAUAAAAGUAGUAAUCAAUAUCAAAGUGAACACAAGCAACAACAAUAAUAACAACAGCUAGAUCUAAUCUAGUAAUCAAAGUGAAAAGCUCAAAACCACAAACAAAAGAUAAAGAGAGAAGAGAAACAAACACACCAAAGAUUGUUGACCCAGUUCGGUCCAACUUGACCUAAUCUGGGGGAGAGGUUGAUCUCUCCAAUCCACUAUCUAAGAGUUCUUACAAAGUGAUACAAAUGGGUUACAAGAAAUUAGCUUAAACAAGCUCACAAAGAACAAAUCUAAUUUCUACCCAUUUUCCCAAUUUCACCAAUGAACAAGAGACUCAAUGAUUUUCACUCACCCAAGGUGUUUACAAUGUUUCCCAACCCAAGAGAACUCUAAUCAAAGACCCUCAACCCUAAAGUUACCUCCUUUGAUUUCCCAAGUUUUCCUCUCUUGAAGUUCUCUCUCUUUCCUCCUUCAAAAAUGAGCUGAAACACUUAAAGAGUACACAGUGAUAGACAAAAUCGCGAUGCGCCAGUGAAAAUCGCGCCACAGUUGAAGCGUGCGACCCAAGGUACGACAACCUUAUCCACAAACCGCGUCACGCCUGCACCAAUCGCACCAUGAUUUGCCUUCAGCAGAAACCAUCCAUUCUGCCACCAAAAUCGCGCCACGCCUCCCAAAAUCACGGCACGAUUUUGGCAUUUCACAACAUCACAAUUUGAAGACAAUUUCAACACUUGUCUUUAGAGCACAAAUUAAGAAAUCAAAGAUGAAAAUAUUUUGUUGGAAAUUGUGCAUUCAAUAUUCUAGAAAUUUAAAAUCUUAUCUUCUCAAGACAUAAUUUACUACUAUAAUUUAAUUUCAUUUUUAAAUUCUUAACUUGUAUCCUAAAGGUACAAGUUAACACUACCCAAAUUAUAAAUGAAUGAUGUAGUAUUUUUGGAACCACUUAAAUGACAAGUCAACACUCCCAAAAUUACCCGAUUUUCAUUUGCUUUUUAAAAAACUGAAAUAUGAGGAAGGUCAUUGUGAGAAUGAUAUGAUUGAUAAACAAAAUCUACUUUGUUUAUAAAUGCUAUUACCUAACAUAUACAGGUGGCGAUAAUCAUUGUAGCAUAAGAUAAAGCAAAACAGGUAAACUAAUAAUGGCAAGAGUAAUGAUAUUUGAACAAAUUUUUUGGUACAGCUUUUGGGACAAUCUUGUUGUGUUCUCUUUUUAUUGGUCAAAAACAAUAUAGAGAGAAAAAGGAAGAGAAAAAAUAAGAAGAUAAUAUGAGUAUGAGAGAGAAGGUUGUACAAAAAUUAUAUAAAAAUGAUUGUACAAAUAUCAUUUCUCUAAUGACAAAGAUAGAUAAGUCCACAAAAAAAUGUCAUAAUGAAGGUGUCGAAUGUCGAAAAAGAAAACUCUAUGAAGACCCAACAAGUUGGGGCGAGCUUUAAUGCAAUACUUCCAGCUAAGGCGGAUCCAUAAAUGUGCAAGAUAGGGCUUCAAAAAAUAUAAAUAAUCGGGGCCGGCUAUAACUUGUGCAAGCAUAAAAACUACAUAUUAGUUCUAAUUUGUUGCUGUUCAACCGUCUCAAAGUAAUACUCUCGUCAUUUCAGAAUAAAUGUUGUUUAUAAAAGUUUUGUAUUAAAAUAAUCGCUGUUAUGCUUUUUCAAUGCAACUUUAAUAAAUUUAUUCUAAGUUUGCUCUCACAUUAAUCUUAUAUGCACAACUUUUAAAUCAUUAUAUUUCACUUUGACAUUAAUGAUUUAAAUGUUAUAUUACUCUUAUAUUAAUCUUAUAAGCAAAAAAUUAUGCAUUUUAGAUUCAUUCAAUUAAUGAUGUAUGUGGGCUUUAUUAUAGACCACAUACAUCAUUCAGUUUAACAUAGUCGAGUAUAAACAAAAACUUGGUUGAGUUUUCUCGAGUUUAACACGUGUUAACUCGGUCAAACUCGCCAAACAUCUCGAUUUUACCAGAAACCGAGUUUACCUCCGAGUUAACACGAUUUCAGCACCUAAAAACGUAAAUUCGUCCGAGUUUACGAGUUAACACUCAAUUUGUGGAACAUUAUCCUCAAUCCCACGUAUUACUCAACUGACUUGAGAAAAAAAAAUGCACUCUUCCCGAUUCAAUUGUCUUAGCCUUCGCUUAAAUUUUCACCAACUAGAAGGACCCUCGCCUAAUCACACAUCAGCCGAUGUCGAUUAAUAAAGUAAUUAGUUUUAGGUUAGGUUUAAACAUAGUCAUAUGCCAAUCUAGCAAGUUAAUUUUCAUAUAUCAAAAUAGUUUUUGGAAAAAUAUACAUUGUUGACAAAUUUCAUAUACACAUAAUUUUUCUUAAUUAUUGUGUAUUAGUGAAGAGAGUUUUUCAUAUAUGGAUAUAUGUGGUAGCGUGUUUGUCCGUUUCAUUAAAAAGUCACCAUUCCCUUUACUAAUUACUUUCCAUUUUAGGAGAAACACUCUUUUAUGGGUCCCACCAAAAACUCUUUUCUUCUCUAUUUAUUUGGUAACCAAACAAAGGAAAUAGUAUACUCCUCUUUUAUCUCCAACCUCUCUCUUUCGUUCUAGUUUCCUAUGGAGCUAAACAAAUAUGCUAAAGUUUGAGGGAGUAAAUGCCAGCAAAUUGAGAUGAAGAUAUUUUGAAUUCUGAACAAAUUCGUGACGACCACGUUCCCGUAUAGACAGAGCAAUUUGAUUUAGGUAAAAAUACAACAAAGGAUUUCAACAUUGAAAAUAAGAAACUUCGAUGGUGAUUUGCCAUCUUUGUGGUCCACACAUGAGAGACGUGACACUAUAGCUAGUACAACUAUUUGUAUUUACACGUUACUCCCUCCGUCCCAAAUUGUACGACGUUUUCAGACAUAUUAAAAAAUACAAUUAAUAUUGUCUGGAAAAGAGAUAUUAUGAGUUGUUUUACAAAAUUGUCCUUAAUAAAUAAUAUGGGAAAGAUAAAUGAAAGAAUUGAAAGAAGAGAGGGUAAUAAAUAAUUAAGAUUAUAACAGAAAAAGUAACAUUAAUGUUGUAUUGGUAUUGUAAAGUGACAUAUAAUUUAAGUUAAAUUUUUUUCCCUAAAGCGACAUACAAUUUGGGACGGAGGGAGUAGUUUUUAGGUCAAUAGUUACACCUUAAACCCUUAAUAAUUGCUAGGCAAUGUUCUCACCGUUCAUUGCACAACAAGACUUUAUUACUAGCCAUUAUAUUUGUAUGUCUAUAAAUAAAUGCUCACAAUAAAUUAUAAGCACAUUCUCACUCUUCAAAACAAUGAACUCCUUAGCAACUUCUAUGUGGUGUGUUGUGCUUUUGGUUGUGCUUGGAGGACUACCCUUUUCCUCAGAUGCACAACUUAGUCCCACUUUUUACAGCAAAACUUGUCCAACUGUUAGUUCCAUUGUUAGCAAUGUAUUAACAAAUGUUUCUAAGACAGAUCAACGCAUGCUUGCUAGCCUCGUCAGGCUUCACUUUCAUGACUGUUUUGUUUUGGUAUGUCUUUAGGUGACUACUUUAUAUUUCUAAUAUUAUCUUUAGAUUUAUAAAUAUUAGUUUAAAAUAUAUUAUAAUACAAUAUGGUUAGUUCGAUCCAUGCGCAACUCCUAUAUAUUAUACAACUAAAAAUGGUAAAUAAUUGUCUACUACAACUGAUCAACAGACGUUUCCUAAAAAAAACGUCAAUUAGAUAUAUCUUCAUUUGUCCCUUUGAAAUUAACUGUCUUUUGAUCGAACUUUUAUUAUAAUGUCCCUUUUACAAAAUAGAAGGAUUAGAACAAAGAAACAAUAGAAAAAUAAUUCUUAAACACCUAAAACCAUUCUACCAUUAAAGAAAGAAGAAAUAAAUGGAAAUAAUAUAUGUGAUAGGUUGUUGAUAUAAUAGGAAGAGAGAGAUGAAGAGAAAAUAAAUGUAGAAGUAGAAUGUACGUAAGAAAAGUAAGAGAGAUGCAAAUAGGGUUCUAAUAAUUGUCUUGCACUUCUUUUCUUUAUAUUUUAUAAAAUUAUGCAUUAACUAGUAUUUUCUAAAAAUUGUAGGCCAAGUAUAUGAAUCAACUUUCUUUUUUAAGUUUUUAACUUUCAAGUAAAUUUUUAAUAUGCUUUUUUACCAUAUGUUCUUUAAUUUAUGCGUCAAAAAAUAAUGUGAUGCAUAAUUUUCACAGGGAUGUGAUGCCUCGGUUUUGUUGAACAAUACUGCUACGAUCGUAAGCGAACAACAAGCUUUUCCAAAUAACAACUCUUUAAGAGGUUUGGAUGUUGUAAAUCAGAUCAAAACUGCUAUAGAAAGUGCUUGUCCUAACACAGUUUCUUGUGCUGAUAUUCUUGCUCUUGCUGCUCAAGCAUCCUCUGUUCUGGUACAUAUGCCCUAAUUCUAAAUAUAUUUCUGUAAUUUAAUGCCUCGUUGAUCAUUAAAUUUCAAAUGCAAUAUUUAAAUGAUUCUAUUUCUGUUCUGAGUAUAUAAUACUAUAAUAUAUGCAUUUGAUAAUGGUUGCAAUCCAACAAAAAUGAUCAUAUAGUUAAUUAAGGUAGCGGCGCCGUCUGUAUUUUGUUUUCAGUUUUUGCCGCGAGUUUUUAUGCGCCUUGCAUUUACUCGACGUGAAUAAAUUUUCCGUUUCAAAAAAAAAAGUUAAUUAAGGUAGCUUCAAAAUCUAGGGUUAUUUUUAUAAUGAUUAAAUAAAAAAACCAUUUCAAGAAGUUAAUCAUCUAUGAAAAUUAAAUACUACAUCACAAGGCUAAGAGUAACACUUAUUUUACCUAUGAUGAAAUAAUACAGGCACAAGGUCCUAGUUGGACAGUUCCUUUAGGAAGAAGGGAUGGUUUAACUGCAAACCGGACACUUGCAAAUCAAAAUCUUCCGGCCCCAUUCAAUACCUUGGUUCAACUUAAAGCUGCAUUUACUGCCCAAGGCCUGAAUACUACUGAUCUAGUUGCACUCUCGGGUUUGUGCUCAUUUUAGCGAUGAUGUUGACGUUACAUAAAAUAAAAAUUAUAUAUAUGAUUAUUGAUUUAUAUAUGUUUCUCGUUUUCAGGUGCUCAUACGUUUGGAAGAGCUCAUUGCGCACAAUUUGUUGGUCGAUUGUACAACUUCAGCAGUACUGGAAGUCCGGAUCCAACUCUUAACACAACUUACUUACAACAAUUGCGCACAAUAUGUCCCAAUGGUGGACCUGGCACGAACCUUACCAAUUUCGAUCCAACGACUCCUGAUAAAUUUGACAAGAACUAUUACUCCAAUCUUCAAGUGAAAAAGGGCUUGCUCCAAAGUGAUCAAGAGUUGUUCUCAACAUCCGGUGCAGAUACCAUUAGCAUUGUCAACAAAUUCAGCACCGAUCAAAACGCUUUCUUUGAGAGCUUUAAGGCUGCA